UAAAAAAAUUAUUUUAUUUCUGUAGUUUUUUAUUUUUAAUUAGUUUACAGAGAGAAUUGCUAUCACUUUUUUUUACUUUAUUUUGAUGAAAAAGUAAAAACAAGAAAAAAGCAAAGAAGAAAAGAAAAUAUAGAAAAGAAAAAGGAAGUGAAAGAAAGGCAAAUAACCCUUAGAGAUUCCACGGUGAGGGGUCAUAUGACCCUUCGGACCCCUUAGUUCCACCUCGGGAUAUUCAUAUACUAUAUUAUAAAUAUUUGUGUCUACUAUUUGAUUAUCAAUUACGAAAUAAGUAUUAGUGAUAAAACAUUUUAAAGAAAUAUAUAAUAAGUGAGACUCUUUUAUUAUAAUUAUUACUAAUUUCAUGUAUUUGAUGUGUUUCGCAAUUAUAAUUCAACCGUAUUAAGAUGAUACAAUACAGAUCAAUGGACUAGGAAAAACAAUUUAUAAGACGCAAAGUACAACCAAUAAAUUCUCUCUCCACUUCUUCAUUCAUAUAUAUAUAUAUAUAUAUAUAUAUAUAUAUAUAUAUAUNNNNNNNNNNNNNNNNNNNNNNNNNNNNNNNNNNNNNNNNNNNNNNNNNNNNNNNNNNNNNNNNNNNNNNNNNNNNNNNNNNNNNNNNNNNNNNNNNNNNNNNNNNNNNNNNNNNNNNNNNNNNNNNNNNNNNNNNNNNNNNNNNNNNNNNNNNNNNNNNNNNNNNNNNNNNNNNNNNNNNNNNNNNNNNNNNNNNNNNNNNNNNNNNNNNNNNNNNNNNNNNNNNNNNNNNNNNNNNNNNNNNNNNNNNNNNNNNNNNNNNNNNNNNNNNNNNNNNNNNNNNNNNNNNNNNNNNNNNNNNNNNNNNNNNNNNNNNNNNAUAUAUGUGAGAUUCCAUCCACAGCAACCGAUUGUUGGGAGCAACCUAUUUUUGGCCAGCCGCUAUAGUCUGUACCGGCCCUUGUAUAAUUUUUUUUUUUUAUAAGCCGCAACAGGCUGUAGCGGCUGCCAAAAAUAGAUUACUCCCAACAACCGGUUGCUGUAGAUGGAAUCUCACAUGUUUAUUAUUUAUGCAUAAAUAUUAAUUCCAUGAGAUUAAUUAAACUCCUACAGGGGUCGGAGGGUCAUGGUGGUUGUUUGCUCCUGUUCCUGGAUAAUCUGUGCUUUCCAAAUCCAUUCUUCCCUCUACAAGUCCUUCCACCACUAACAUCUUUCCUUCUCCCAUUUCCUACAAAAUUUCAAAACAAACAUAAAAUAAGUAAAUAUAUCGUUUGCGUAUUACUUAUAUGCGUGGAUAAAUAUUUUUUUAAAGAAAAAACUAUAUAGUAAAUAUUUUAAUUUUGUUAAAAGAAUGGGAAAAUUAAAGGAAUUACUAAUUCAAUUUGUAGAAGUAAGAAAGUGGAUGUGUACAUGUGGGUAGUACGUAUUACAAAUAAUUGUUAUAAUUGACUUUUUUCUUUAUGAAUUAAUAUUUGUUAUUAUAUGUUUGAAAUAAUUAUCAUUUCAAUUCUUUGUAUCUUAAUUUUUUCAUUUCAUCGUAUCAUCGUAUCGUAUGUAACGCAGACUAACAAUUUAGAGAAUGGUAGAGAAGGUAAACAAAAGUUGACAGCUAAAAGUUAUUGGCUUCUUGCAUAAUGGGGUUGACUUCUCAGUUCGUUAAUUAACCCAAAAAUCUGUGGUUGCAAACUACUACAGUACUACUAUUAUUGCCAAAUUUUUAAUUACCAAUUUGAAGAAUUCCAAAAAAAAUAAAUAGAAAAUACUAGUAGUAAUGUAUUUCACAGAAGUAGGGGUAUUAAUGACAAUAGUGCCAAUUUAUUUAUGGUAAAUGAUGUAAUAAGCCAAAAGAAUAAACUAAACAGAGAGGGAUCGAUAUGAGUUCUUCUAGGGGGACCGUGAUUUUCCGAUCGGGGUAGUAAUUGGUUGGCAUUUUUUUAUUUUUUUAUUUUUUGUUUUUGACUACAAAAUAAUUAAUGUGAUUUAUUAGAACUGAAAUUUUUAUAAAAUGCAGUAAUUUAGGUGUCUUUUUGGAUACACGUAACAAACAGGGUUAUACAGUAUGUACAAUUUUAUUUUUUAUGUGUAUCCAAAUGACACUUAAAUCACUGCAAUUUAUAAAAAUUUCAGUUCUAAUAAAUCACAUUAAUUAUUUUGUAGUCAAAAACAAAAAAAAAUAAAAAUAAAAAAUUUCGGCCGGUCAUUACCGGAGCCGGAAAAUCACGGUCCCCCUAGACUUUCUGGGAUGGGGAUGGAUAUAGAGCACCUGAGCUUGUAAAUCUUGGAGUGCAGGAUUCUCCUUAAUAGAUUUGAGGCUUCCUGUUUAUAUGAGAAAAGAAAAAUAAAAUAAAAGAAAGAAAGAAAGAAAACAUGCACGCACGUAUACCUAUAACAGAAAUAUCUUAUAGUAUAUAUUUACAAGCCAAGAUUCAAACAGAAAUAUAACCCUUACUGGAUGUGGGAACUGUAGAAAUGGAGGCAAUAACAGAAGAGAAUCCCAGAAAGAGCACAAGAAGGUGAAGCAAAGACUUAUUAAUCUUCAUGUUGACAAAUUAAAGCAAAAUAGAUUAUAGAUCUGAAGAAGAAUUAAUUAAUAUAUAUGUUGUAUAGGUUGGUGAUGGGGAGAGAGAGAGCUACAGAAUAUGUGGAUGGAGAAGAUGCAAUCCUUAUAUAUAUAGAGCAGAAUUAUUGAAUAUAGAAAAAAGGUCAAGUACUAUUAAUUAAUUACUAGUAAAAUUUACAAAAAAGUCAACUUCAUUAUUUGAGUUCCAACUUGCCUAACUUUAUCACUAGCUAAUCGGUGUCACUCUCGGUUCAUUAAUGGUAUUAUCUUCUUCCCUGUAUAUAAUUAAUUAAUUGUUUUAAAUGCAGAAGAAAUACAUAGAAGCUAAAGUAGUUCUAGUUGGUAGAUACAUACAGAUGAAGUUCACGCACAAAAUUAAAGAUCACUGGACUGGACCGGUACGGUACUUUUGUCAAGUAGGUCGAUCAUCAUUCAUAAAUUUCCGUGUGUGUGUGAAGUUCUUGCAAGACAUCGUUUAAAACUAACCGUUGAUAUGAACUCAAAAAUAUUACUACUACUCCACUAUUAUUUUCCUUAUAUAAUGUAGCAUAAACGUUUUGAUUUUAUAAACUGUUAUUAUGUGUAUCUAAUGAGAUAGCAAUUAAUUUAAUUUUUUUUCCAAAGAGAGAUAGACGUGUGUAUUUGGCAUUGUGUAGUAACUAUACACGAAGCUACAGGGGUUUCUCUUCAAAGGCAUGGCAAAUUAUCCAAAGCGACAAACGAUGAUUUCACAUCAAACUGUUAAGCUAAAUAUACUAUAUACUAACACCCAUCAGCACCGCCCAAAUGGUAUUGGUUGGUGUGAAGGCCAUGGAUAAACAUUUAUUAGCUACCUACCUUAUCACACCAUUCGGAAUCUUGUCCAUUUCUUUUAUAACUCACCACUUUUGUUUUUACACACAUAAACUCUUGGCUGUGUGUUUAUAUUUUAUUAAUUAAUUUAUCAAUUUAUUUAAAAAUAAAUUUAAUGUUAACCACUAUCCUUCGUUUAUUUUUACUUUACUACCACUUUCUUUAUUUAUAUUUGCCUACUCAACUCAACUCAUUCAUUUCGAAUACUCUUUAUGGAAACAGAGGGAGUACUGUAGACUGUAGUAGCCUCCUUGUUUAUAUCCUCACGGGUGUCCCGAAUCAAAUUAAAGAAUAAAGGCAUAAAUAUGGAAAUUUUUAAUAUUUUUUUAUUUUGAGAUUGUCUUCUCAAUUUUUUUAAUUAGGGAAUAAACUUUUAAUUUGUUUUAUUUUGGAGAUUGUCUUCUCAUUUUUUUAAUUAGAAGAUUAAACUUUUAAUUUUUUUCUACUUUGGGGAUUGUCUUCUCUUUUUUCUUAAUUAGAAGUUUAAACUUUAAAAAAAAAAAUUACUAAUAUUUAUUUCGAUAAUUAUAGAGCGGUACAUGUUGAAUACCUAAUUCAAAGAGUACAAAUACUAGUCAUAUGUAUCAACUCUAAAAUGAAACUAAUAUAUUUAUUUCACAGGAAACAAUUAUGUGAAAUCAUAACAGAAUUCGAAAUACGGAAGCAAACGAACAAAUUUAAAAACAAAAGAGUGUCGCUGAAAGAGUACGCAAUCCGUACCUGAUACUUCCAAACCAUUUAUAGCACACUCCACAAAAUCUUACCCUCAAAUGCCAACGAUAUCAAAUACGAAACGUUAUUCAUCACCUAAACAUAUUCACCUCAAAUUAAAUAUAAUCCAAUUCAAUAAUUCCAAAAUAAUUCAUAAUCUAUUUAAUAUGCCUUUAAUCAUCGCCUUAUAUCAAUUAUUAAUACUCCAAAAUUUAUAUUCCAAAUAUAACUCUUUAAGUUCCUUCCGUCCGAACUAAUUACACAAAUUAAUAAUACUAAAUGUAAGUACAUUUAUAAAAAUAUUUGGUACGACUAUAAAAUAUAAUUACUUAUAAUAUUAAAAUUUAAUUCAUUCCAUAUAAUCUUACAUAUUUAUUUGUAUAACAUCUCUUGUAACUUAUGCAAGUUUUCGUAAACUUUAAUUACUACUGCUAUAUAUAUAUUUUUAUUUAAAAAAAUCAUCAAUUUAUUAUUUUAGGAUCUCCAAAAUCAAUCACAGACUACUCCCUCCGUUCAAUCUGAUUGGAAUAAAGUGAUAAUAAUAAUAAGUACAUCCGUAUAAGUAUUACAUUAAUAAAUAAACUCUCCCAUCUUUAAAGAUCGCUCUUAGUUCUUGAAUUACAAAAGUACUUGCUCAUGAUGAAAAAAACAACAUACUAAAUUUAAUAAUUUAAUAUGGAACCACGUGAUUUAUCCCCACUUUAUAUAAUGUAUAAUAUACUUACUUAUUACUGAUGAAAUUUCCCCACUAGUGAUCAAAAUCUCUAGUCUUUCUUCACCUGAGCCCCCUUUGUAGCUGUUCCCUUUAUCUCCAAAGUAGCCACCUCUUCUUAUUCAGUUUGUAUAAUGAAGUAAUAUUAGGUUUAGCUAUUUAUUAAUUAGGUUUGCCCUAAUAAACUUCUAUUUGGGUUAAAUUAAUAUUAAGGCCCAAAUUUUAACCACAUAAUAUUAUCUAUCACUUAUUAAUAUUUAUUAGCCCACAUAAUUUAAAUAACUAGUUUGACCCAAAUAAAUGACAAGUUCCAAACAAUAUGUUUUAAGAAUAUAAAUUUAAUAUUAUUUUAUUAUUAUUUUUUUUCAGGAUAUUACAGAUCAUGGAUAAGUAUAUAUGUAAUAAACAUUUCUAUUUAUUUUUGCUUUGCAACAAUAAAAAGAAUCUUUUCCUUUGAGUGAAAUUAAGGAGUUGUAAAUUGGAAAUUAAUAACAAAAAAUUGGGGUACAGAGCAUCAAUUAACAUUAAUACAACCAUAAGCAACUUUGUUGAGAAUCUUAUCUCUUUCUGAAUUUCUAUAUAUAUUUAUGGGCUUAAUUCACAGUUAACAAUAGAUAACAUCUAAUUAAGGCUGUAAAAUGAACAAACAGUUCGGGCUCGAUUCGUACUUGUUCGACUAAAAAUUUGAUUUGAGCUCGACUCGAAAUAUAAAUGAUUCAAAUACGAGCAAAUUUUAAAGUUCGAUAAAUUACUCGAACCUUCUCAAAUUAUAAUUUUCUAUUGAUACUCGGAUCAUAUUCGUGCGAAAAGUUCAAACUGUUCGUACUCGAUUCGAGAUCGAGCUCGACUCGAUAGUUAAACAAUUCUUAAUCAAAUUUUAUUUUAUAAUCGAUAAAUUUUGUGAACUAAAUUUAAGUAACUCAAUACUUAAUUAAUUCGACUUAGUUCAUUUAUACUCUUACAUCUAAUUAACUUCUAAGGUUAGACUUUGGGAAGAUGAUUUGCACUACAUUUCUAAGUGUAAAAAGUACCAAAUAAUAGUAGUACAAAUACUUUUCGGAUGUUAACCUCCCAAGAACUUAAUUCUCGAAAAUUAGACAUCACUCUUGAAAAUUAGAUCACAUCGUCUAGCAUUAAUUACGGAUCAUUCUAUCCAUUUGUGUUUGUGUGAGUAAAAGCCAUUUUUGGCUUGCAUAGCCGCAACAACCAACAAUGUUACUAAUAUUUCAUCAACCAACAAUUUGGCAACAACAUUUUUUAUAAAAAAGAUAAUAUUUUUUAAUAAAAAGAUAAAAUUUAUAUAAUAUUUUUUAAAUAAAAAUAUAACAUUUUAUAAAACAAUUUUAUAAAAAAUUUUAUAAAAAUUCAUUAAAAAUGUUAUAUAAAAAAAUUUCGUAACAUUUUUAUAAAUCUGUUUUCGUAACAUUUAUAAUAUAUAUAUAUAUAUAUAUAUAUAUAUAUAUAUUUGAGGGAGAGGAUGAAUAAAAGGUAUGGGGGAAUCCUAAGAUAUUAUAGCAUGCAUUACCUACUUUAUGAAGCAAAUUCAUUAUACGUUUUUAGUGGAAGAUUAUUUGAGGUAGGAGUAACUUUUGCUAUAUAUAUAUAUAUAUAUAUAUAUAUAUAUAUAUAUAUAUAUAUAUAUACAUAGAUUUCUUUCUAUAUAUCAUUAGAAUUGCUAGCAUCCAUGCACAAAUGCAUUUACAAUGAUGAAACAAACUAAGAAACAAUUAAUAAACCAAAUCAAAAUACUAUUCACUAUAUUUCAACUAUAAAAAAGUCAAUAAUAUUAGGAAUGGUAAGAAGAAUUCACAUUUUUUUGACUUAUCAUCCUCGUCGCAAGCAUAUGUAUUUGUGCAAGUUAAGAACUGUUCUUGAAUAUCGUUUGGGGGUGGGGGUAUAUAUACAGAAGGGGAGAGGUUGACCAAAAAUUACUUGGGGGAAGGUAGUACAAAGAGACUUGAUGGAGCAGAAUAUAACAUGGGACUUGGCCUGUGAUAGGGAUCAGUGGCGGAAUGUGAUUCUUAUUUUGAAGGCCGAGUACGGUGUUACUAUAUAUAUAUUUUUUGGGUAUACCUCUUUUGCUUCCUUUGCUUAUUUUAUUUUCUUGAUAGCUUUGGUUGUUUUUUUUUUUAAUAUUCUUUCUAUCUUUCUACUUUUUCACUGUGAUAUGGAAUGGGAUAAAGGUGUGUUGAGUUGAAGAAAUAACAGCUCAUUUUCUUUGAACCUUCAUUUGUUGUGUUGCUGGUAAACUUUUAGUGCAAUUUGAGAUGCUAAAUUCUAGUCAACACCAUUCAGUUCAUACCAUGGGUAAAUAGCUCAUGUUCCUGGGUCUGAUAAAAUAACUUUCUGCAGGGGGUAUGUGUUUGCUGUCAGUGUGCACAGAGUUCAGCUUCUUCUCCAAGUCCUCAGUGUGAAGAGGUUUCAUCAUUCACAGCAACAACAUCAGCAAAACUCAGCUAUUGCUCCAGAGGAAUUAACGCAAUCUGAAAUAAACGAAAUAUGCGACUAUUUUAGCCGUCGAGUUGCAUCAGAGCCCUAUGAUGCUUCUCGUGUUGCGUCUUUUAUUACUCUUCUUACUUUACCUAUUUCAGUUUUGAGAGAGUUUUUGAAGCUUAUAGCAUGGAAGAAAGGAUUAGCUCAAGCACAAGGUGGAGAUAUAUCCCCUGCACAAAAGUCCCGCAUUGAANNNNNNNNNNNNNNNNNNNNNNNNNNNNNNNNNNNNNNNNNNNNNNNNNNNNNNNNNNNNNNNNNNNNNNNNNNNNNNNNNNNNNNNNNNNNNNNNNNNNAUAUAUACAUAGAUUAGUAUGAUCUAAUGAUUAUGAAUCCUUCACUGAAUGUUUCUUUAUUUUUUUUUUAUCUUUAGUUAUGAAAGUGGGUAGAAAGCCGUAAAUGGAAACAAUGCCAUUUAGUGUACAAAAUAAUGCCAUUUAGGAAUUCUAGCGGCAAGAGUGAAAUUGAAUUUAAUCUUGGUCAUUUAAUAUCGAGAUAAAAGUUGAAAUAAUAUUUGUGACAACUGGUUGUCACAAAAUUUAUAUAUAUAUAUAUAUAUGAGUUUCAAUUUACGACAACUGGUUGCUAGAGUCACUAUUCCAACAACCAAUUAACAUCUAAGCUGGUUGAUAUAUAUAGUGGAGUAAUCUUUUUCUUUUUUGUCUUUUCUUCCCGUCAUACUAUAUACUAUAAUUUUACAGUUUUGGAGUAAUUGUUUGUAAUCUUUUAUCAAAAAAAAAAAGAAGAAAAAAGAUCAUUUACAUUGUCUCCUCUUGAAAUUGUCGGGAUGUAUCACUUUUCGUAGCAAAGUUGUCAACCUCACAGCCCCUGCUCCAGGCCUUAAAACACCCAAAUUCUGACUCUGCAAACCCGAACACGUUUGGAUUGCAUUAUCCAUUUGAAAACACCAUCCUCCGUAAGUGAAAUUUCCAGGCCGUCUUCUGAGGAUAUCGCGAUCAAUCUUGUCAAGAACGCGGUUAUUUUGCUUGAAUUUUCUAGCGAAUGGCCGAUUGCUUUGGACCAUUUUCCUAUAAUCUUUGAGACCAAGCGACCUGGGGUGCUGUUUUGGGGGUGUAUCCCAAGAAAUGUGGUGUAGAUCAUGGUUCACGGUAGUGUUCUUGUAGUCGUCGGAGUUGCAUAUAACGGUCUGAAAGUAUCCCUCAGGCGACGACACCAUGUUUGUAUAGUAUAGGAGGAGGGUUCUUGGCAAAUUCUCAUACCCCACUAUCAUGUACUCUGCAAAUGAUCUAGAUAAUAUUGUCCAUGCUGAACCUGCAUUAUUGCAUACAUGCAUGCGCUAGUGUACGUAAACAAAAUAUAUAUAACCACUUUUUUGGGAAUCAAGAAAACCAUUACAAAACUGGUAAUUUAGCCAAAUCAAAUUCAAAUGGAGAACAACAUAUUCAUUUCCAGGCCAACUAUUUUCAAUUGUCGUUACUAUAUAUAUAUUAAAAUUUGUUCUAGGACAUUAUUUGGAAUGAUUACCGGGAACACUGAUUAAAUAGGUACGUGAUACGAAAUCAUAUACAGUAAAAUGCAUAAGUUAUUUAGUUAUCGUACGAUGAUUCAGAACUAUAAUACAUUAUACACAAAAUGCAUACCCAAUACGUAGAAUAUAUGACAUUAAGACUUGUUUGGUAACCCUAGUUUGGAACAGAAACACGUGGUCUCGAAUGGUGAUCGACACUGCUUUCAAAAUGUAUUUUAUUUGACUUUUUUUUAGGAUUGAUUUGUCAAAUUGACUUUUAUAUAUAUAUAUAUAUAUAUAUAUAUAUAUAUAUAUAUAUAUAUAUAUCACGACGAUUUGACUUACCAAAUUCAAAUCCCAAAAUUGAGAGUGGGCCUAGUCAAUACUCAUAUUAGGGUCUUAGGGAUGAUCAUUCAUAUCUUAAAGGAACUUUAAUUAAUUAUUUCAACGAUAUCCAGAGGUAUUUUAGUACAUUAUAUUCUUUCUGACUAGCCGGCCAGAGGUAUUUUAUCACGUUAGGUAAGAAAAAUAAAGCACUGGGCCAUGAACUUUGGUACGUACGUUUCUCUUCAGAACUUCACAUGCACUUGAUCAGAAAUUAAAGAAAACAUAUAUAUAUAUAAAUAGCAUCCAUUCCUAUGGACCAUCAUAUCCUUUUAUAACUAACAUAUAUAUAUAUAUAUAUAUAUAUAUAUAUAUAUAUAUAUAUAUAUAUAAUUUCCAGGGAAAUUGAUGAAUAUUCAUUAUAUAUUUAAAUUUUAAAAGGAGAGAGAGAGAGUGGGGGUGGGGAGAAGAAAAACCUGCAUAAAGCUUGAAAGCUGUUGGGAGGCUUCUUUGCUGAUUUACCCACCAAAUCUCUGAUUUAUUUAGACUAUACAGACCCGGGUCUAUCAUAAUUGGUUUUGCUCUCUUGUUGCUGCAAAUUCAAAUCUCUAUUAAUUACUAAUAUGGUUUUUCAAUGUACAUACCUUAAUUAGUUCGGAAAUAAGAGUUAUUUAAUCGUUUUAAAAUUUUAUUAGCACCAACUUAUAUAUAAUUCUUGCAAUAAUAAAUUUCAGUUUUAAAUUUAAUAUUGAAAAAAAAUUAAGCCUGGCUGAGUCCUUGACAAAGUAAAAAUAAAAAAUAAAAUAAAAUGUCAAACAAGUGAAACACUUGACCUCAUUUCUAGUUUGGGUAUCUUUCAUUUAGAAAUUAUGGGUAUGUUUGUUUGAAGGACUGGAUUAAGUGGGAUUACUAGUUUUCAAGAUUAAUAGUUCCUUAUAUAAGGAUUAUGAAAUUUUGAAAAGUGUUGACACGCAGGUCAUGAGGAGAUAUUUUCGCGUGUCAGUACUGUAUUGAUCAAUUAACCAACUUACAUGAAAUUAACUUCAUGAUAACCGAAUCCAUAAAAAUUCACCCUCCCUCCGAUCUAACCAAUCCGAUCAAGACUAUUUCUUUAACUCCAACUAACCGUCAAACCUAGUAUACGUUAACAGUUCAGUGCCCUGCUCUGAAUUUUUUUCUUCUUUUUUUAAAAAAAAGUAGUUAUAUAUAUAUAUAUAUAUUUGUAGGCUUACAAUUUCCAACCAAGACGGCUGUAAUGCUGUAUAAAAUUGAGAUCUCUUGGCAAUUCAGAGAAUGCAUAAAUCAGAUCUGCAAUUAUGGAAAAUGGGGAGGAAUUAAAAAAAAUUUAAAAUUAAAGAAGAGUGAUGAGAAUUGAGAAAGGUGAGUCCAGAAACAGCAGCGUUAGUGUUACCGUACCAUCUUGAGUUACAAGGGGAUAAUCAGAGGCACUGAGAUUAAUGAACCAAUCCCAAUUUCCAGCCUUUCUCAAAAGAAUAGACAUUGCAUGGAGCGUAGUGGAUAGCAUGGUGGGCCCUCUGUAAGUCACCAAAUUGGGCUUCCCAACUAUCCAAACAUUACCCACCCGACUAAAAACGGGGUGACCAUAGACAAAAUUAGCAAUGUCCAAAUGGUCGGCCCGACAGGCCUCGGAGUCCAUAUGAAUCAAGUAGUAAUUCCCAGGAUGGUACAGAGCAAGCAGGGCCCUUUUGAGCUUCAAAGUAUCGCCUUUGGAUGCAGAAAUCAAGUAGGCAAAGCUAACUGGAUAUGUGGAUUUGGGAAUGUUUAUGGUGAGAUUGUUGAAUGUGGCGACUUGGAUUAUUGGUAUGUAGAGGAGGAGGAGGAGGAGAGAGAAAAUAAGUGAAGUUAGAAUGAAAGAGAUGAUGCAGCUUUUAACCCCCAUUACUUGGAAUAAGCCCAUUUUAGAGAGAGAGAGAGAGAGAGAGAGAGAGAGAGAGAGAAUGGGAUGAAAUGGUUUCCUGGCUGGCUGUAAGAGAAGAAGAGUAGGAGGCUCUUUAAUUCCAGUUUUCCAUAUCAUAGAUAGAUGCCCCAGGCCAUCUUUAGCUUAUUGAUUGCCCUCAAUAAGUUAAAAUACUACUCCCUCUUCUUUUUUUAAUUUUAAAAUUAUAGAUUAUAAAAUGAAAUAUGUUUUUUUAUUAUCUGGGAAAUUGAAAAUAUUUAUAAAGAUUUUUAAGCGAACUUAUAUUAAUUUUCAAUUUAAAAAUAUUUUUAUAAAUAUCAAAAUGAUUUUGCAUUUUAGAACAAGACUUAAAAAUGAACCGUAAUCUAAAUCUAAGGAGUGGUAGAUAGGGAUAUUAACUCUGAUCAAAUGUUAUUUAUGAAGAUGACGAGAAAAUUAUUAUUAUUAUUAUUAUUUUCCCAUACUAUAAANNNNNNNNNNNNNNNNNNNNNNNNNNNNNNNNNNNNNNNNNNNNNNNNNNNNNNNNNNNNNNNNNNNNNNNNNNNNNNNNNNNNNNNNNNNNNNNNNNNNCGAGUAAAAACGGCAAGCAGGGCCCUUUUGAGGUUCAAAGUAUCGCCUUUGGAUGCAGAAAUCAAGUAGGCAAAGCUAACUGGAUAUGUGGAUUUGGGAAUGUUUAUGGUGAGAUUGUUGAAUGUGGAGACUUGGAUUAUUGGUAUGUAGAGGACGAGGAGGAGGAGAGAGAAAAUAAGUGAAGUUAGAGAAAGAGAUGAUGCAGCUUCUAACCCCCAUUACUUGGAAUAAGCCCAUUUUAGAGAGAGAAUGAGAAGAAUGGGAUGAAAUGGUUUCCUGGCUGGCUCGCUGGUUGUAAGAGAAGAAGAAGAGUAGGCUCUUUAAUUCCAGUUUUCCAUUUCAUAGAUAGAUUCCCCAGGCCAUCUUUAGCAUCAAUAAGUUAAAAUAGUACUCCCUCUUCUUUUUUUUUAAUUUUAAAAAAUAUAUAUAUUUUUUGUACUAAUUAGAUAUAUUUUUUAAAUUAUAGAUUAUAAAAUGAAAUAUGUUUUAUUAAUAUUUAGAAAAUGUUAUGUUAUGUUGACCCAACCCACGCUAAAUAGUUACUAUAUAGUAUUAAUUAAAUUUUGAAUAGGUUGGUAAAUAAAAAUACACAAACUCGUUGAAGUCCGUAUACUAUACGCUAGACGCUAGUAGUAUAUAAAUAGUGGAUUACUUUGAAUAUUGGUGUUACGUUUUUUGGUCAAAGUUCAUUAGUGCCACUUUUUUGUCCUUGCUAAACAUAAGACAGAAUCUUAAUACACUAAAAUAUACUACUCCAUAUUCUUAGUACCAACAUGUCGUAGAAAAGUGCACUCAUAAAAUAUUUGCAAAUUAGUGUAAGUAUUUUAAUAAAUUAUAAUUCAGCACUUUCUCUCUCCUCCCUUCUAUUCCGCUCCGCCGAACUCCUUUCCAUAACCAUUGCAGCAGUUUUCCAAAACUUUAUCUUCCAAAACUGUGUAUACACAUACUAACAGACAUUUAUGUAAAGAAGAGAAGUUUAAGAAAAGGACCAGGCCAUGGAAGAGAUUCGAAAUCUUGAGGGUGAGAAAAGCCCCAAACUUCUUGAUUAGCCUUAAAACAUCAUCCUUGGAGUAAUCAGCCAUGGCCAUAAAACACAGUAGAAUGGCUCGUCGUCAAGCUCACAGCUUUUCAGGCAUAAAUAACGGAAGUGAAGAGUGAAGUUUAUUCUCGGUAGGUGAAUAAUGAAUUGAUCGAUCAAAAUCAAAUCAAUGAUGAACUUUCUUUCUCGGUCCUCUUCCAGAGGGGGCGUGCGUUUUACAGUGACGCGACAUGUAGUGUGUACGAAAGUACAACAUGGAAUAUGUUGCCCCUUUGUAUGUUAACUAGCUGUGUCCCAAACAUUGAUCUCUGAUCUCUCUCAUGUCAAAAAGGAAAAGAACAUUGGCAGUCCAAGAAAGGGUGACAAAUCAAUUUAUUCACAGAUCAAACCUCAAAAAAAUGCAGCAUAUCGUGAAGUGAUUUUUUGUCCUUGUCGAGGCGGAGUUUGUCUUCUUUUUUUUUUCUUUUGAUAAUGUUGGUAGUCAAACCUUCGUAUAAAGAUAGUCAAUUCAAUUUUAUUGGGUUAUUAAUUAAUUAGUACAUUCUUAUCCCUUUAAUAUCAAACUCUUUUAACCUUCAUACAACAGCUUCUGAGACUUAUUUGCAAAUAACAAGUGGGCUUUGAAAAGAGUUUGAUAUUUUUAGUCGGCUAAAAGGCAGGUUUUGUUUGAUAAUUUUUUCAAAGUGUAGUUGGUAGCCAAACAUUCAUACCAAGGUAACCAAUUCAGUGUUAUUAGGUUACCAAUUUAUUUUGAAUGUGAUGCAGUUGAUAGCCAAACCUUCAAGCAGUUGGUUGUCAAACUUUUUAUACCAAGAUAACCAAUCUUCCUCCACACCUGCAGUAUGAAUUGGUUACCUUGGUCUAAAAGUUUGGCAACCAACGGCUUGAAGGUUUGACUAUCAACUGCAUCACAUUCAAAAUAAAUUGGUAACUUAAUAAAACCGAAUUGGUUACCUUGGUAUGAAGGAUUGGCUACCCACUGCUUAAAGGUUUGGCUAGCCUUACCCAAAUCUACCCAAUCAAAUUCCUUAACCAACAACCUCACCAUUUCUCUUUCCUCAAAUCCCUUCCCCACCACCCCAUUCUUUCUCUCCUCCACCACCUCCACCACUCCUUCUACCACCUCCACCACUCCUUCCAUCUCCCAACCCACCACCACCUUCGAUUGUUGUACUUCUUCCACUUGUUAUUAUUCUUCUCCUCUGUGGUUUUUUGGUUGAUUUUAGGAUUAGAAUUUGAGUUUUUUCGUCUGGAAUUGAUCUUUUAUUAUGUUACUGAAAAUAUGAACGCCCUGAGAUCUUGUUCCGACCCUUAUUUUGUCUGGGGAAAAGGAGGACGAAAGGCAAGGCUUCUUUUGUAUGAAUGUUUCUGCUUCUUCUCGAUUGAUCCGCUGUUGAAGAUGGUUAUUAUCUAUAAAAGCUUUCAGAUUGUUCUUCUAUGGAGCAUUCGUUUCUGUCUCGAUUUUUGAAUGUUUUGUUUAGUUGGUAACUACCGCAUAAAGUGGAGUAGUUUUCUCCUUAAAUCAAGGUGUUUCUAUUUUUGUUAGUUUGGGUUAUGUGACGUGGAUUGCACUACUAUUGAUAUUAUUAUAUAUUAUUGCACUAUUACUAUAAUUAUUUAAUUGGUGCACUAUUUUUGUAAUAUCUUUUUAUUUGUUGUAUACUUAUGUAAAGGACCCAAGAAAUUAAGUAUUAUCUGAAAAUUAUAAUUUAAAUAUUCUUUGGACCCAAAUCUUGAAGGCCCAAUUUACCAUGAUACGUCUUCGUCUAAAAAUGUAUUUUGAUGACCGAUUGGGUAUAAAAUUGGGAGACAGAUAGGCCCAAGUAAAAUUGGGCUUCUUCUUCUAUAGUUCUAUGUCCAGCAUAGGAUAUCUUCCACAAAUGUACUCAAAAUGACUCUUUUUUAUUUAUUAUUAUUAUUAUUAUUUUUUAAAAAAAUCUAUUAAUUAGAUAUCUUGUUAUUUAAAUUAACUUGUGUGUUUUUCAAAGCAACUUAUGUGCUUAAAUUUUAAUACAUUACAUAGGUUACAGGUUUCCUAAAAUACAAGAUUAGAGAUAUAUUUUGAGAAUCAAUUCGCAAAAUUUUAAAUUUUAAAGUUAGAUAUGAAGUUAUUUAGUUUUAAAUUUUAAUACAAAAUAAUAUAACAAUUGUAAAAACCACAACUAAUUAUUAUAUUUGUUGUUUUUAAAACUUGAAUAAAAUUAUAUUAAUUUUGAGUUUUAAAAUUUCGUAAAUUAAUUUUAAAAAAUCAAAAAUUUACCUCUAAUUUUGGAACGGAGUUAAUAAGUAUUCGGAAUAAGUGUGAUAAAAGUAUUUGUGAAUUUUAUUCAUAUUUUGCUUCUUCAACCUUCUUCCUCUAAUUAUUAAGAAAUAUGUAUUUGUAUAACAUAUUCCUUUUAUAAAAAGACCUUUUCGUAAAAACCUGUUUCUCGGAUAUAUUUUAAUAUUAACAGUCUUUUGUAUUGCGUUAAAUUAGAAGGGCGUAAAUAAACCAGAAAAAGAAAUUAUUAAAUUAAAAGUCAAAAGGGCGCACACACAAACUGCCCUAAUAUGUGUAAAGUAUGACUAAAUUUCAAAUUGCAGCCUAACUUUAACCCUAAACUUUAUUUUAAAUUAAAUGUAUUCAAAAACUUUGAGUUUUAAUACAAUUUGCACCUUUUACACUAAAAUAUUGGGUGCAAAAUAUUUUGAUGUAAAAGGUGCAAAUUAUUUUGAAACUUAAAAUUUAAGGUACAUUUAAAAUAUACUAACAAUUCAAAUUUUAAUUAAUCAGUAUUUUAUCAAAUAUCACCUAAUAUUAUAUUUCUAGUCGAUGUUAGGGGAACAAGUUAGAAAAAGGGAUAAAUCAAUUUUUGGUACUUGUACUAGGACACGAUUUACAAAUUGGUACCCGAAGUGAAAAAAGUUACAAACUGGUGAUUGUACUCGAAAAAUAUUACACUCCGUUAAACAGUAGGGGCACGAAUUACAAUUUGGUACCCGAAGUGAAAAAAGUUACAAACUGAUGAUUGUACUCAAAAAAAUUUGUUAUCUGGUGCUUGUACUUUCCAAUUUUUAAAUAAUCGUUAAAAUUGAUCCAACGAGAGAGACAAACAUACAGAGAGAGAAGCGAAGUCGACGCGAAGAAGAUCCUCGAUAUUUUGUUCCAUCUUUUCUUGCCUCCCACAUUCGCACUAUUGCUCCACAGUGGCACCGAUUUGAGAACUCUGGUGUAAUCCAUUCAUUUGUGUUGCAUGAACUACAAUUUUCUUCCCCGAUUUUAUUUACGAUUCCACUCUAAGACGAGCUCAUCCUUUCAAUUAAACACUGAAAACCCUUUAAUAAGUAUAUGGGAACAAGUAAUCAAUGGAGAAUCGAGACAAGAAGAAUGAGAGAAGGACAGAAGAAAAGAACCCUAAUUUUCAAACAGAAUAAAAAUGAAACUCUAAUGUUUAACGGAGUGUAAUGUUUUUCGAAUACAAUCACCAGUUUGUAACUUUUUUCACUUCGGGUACCAAAUUGUAAGUCGUGUCCCUAAUGUUUAACGGAGUGUAACAUUUUUCGAGUACAAUCACCAGUUUGUAACUUUUUUCACUUCGGGUACCAAAUUGUAAGUCGUGUCCCUAAUGUUUAACGGAGUGUAACAUUUUUCGAGUACAAUCACCAGUUUGUAACUUUUUUCACUUCGGGUACCAAAUUGUAAGUCGUGUCCCUAAUGUUUAACGGAGUGUAACAUUUUUCGAGUACAAUCACCAGUUUGUAACUUUUUUCACUUCGGGUACCAAAUUGUAAGUCGUGUCCCUAAUGUUUAACGGAGUGUAACAUUUUUCGAGUACAAUCACCAGUUUGUAACUUUUUUCACUUCGGGUACCAAAUUGUAAGUCGUGUCCCUAAUGUUUAACGGAGUGUAACAUUUUUCGAGUACAAUCACCAGUUUGUAACUUUUUUCACUUCGGGUACCAAAUUGUAAGUCGUGUCCCUAAUGUUUAACGGAGUGUAACAUUUUUCGAGUACAAUCACCAGUUUGUAACUUUUUUCACUUCGGGUACCAAAUUGUAAGUCGUGUCCCUAAUGUUUAACGGAGUGUAACAUUUUUCGAGUACAAUCACCAGUUUGUAACUUUUUUCACUUCGGGUACCAAAUUGUAAGUCGUGUCCCUAAUGUUUAACGGAGUGUAACAUUUUUCGAGUACAAUCACCAGUUUGUAACUUUUUUCACUUCGGGUACCAAAUUGUAAGUCGUGUCCCUAAUGUUUAACGGAGUGUAACAUUUUUCGAGUACAAUCACCAGUUUGUAACUUUUUUCACUUCGGGUACCAAAUUGUAAGUCGUGUCCCUAAUGUUUAACGGAGUGUAACAUUUUUCGAGUACAAUCACCAGUUUGUAACUUUUUUCACUUCGGGUACCAAAUUGUAAGUCGUGUCCCUAAUGUUUAACGGAGUGUAACAUUUUUCGAGUACAAUCACCAGUUUGUAACUUUUUUCACUUCGGGUACCAAAUUGUAAGUCGUGUCCCUAAUGUUUAACGGAGUGUAACAUUUUUCGAGUAUAAUCACCAGUUUGUAAUUUUUUUCACUUCGAGUACCAAAUAGUAAAUCGUGUUCCAGUACAAAUACCAAAAGUUGAUUUAUCCCGUUAGAAAAAUAAAAUUAUCUUAAUAUAAAUCUUUAAUUUUAGAAACGGCGGAACAGUUUUUAUUUCUAUUUUUUUUCCCUUGUGUGCAUGAUGAGACUUGAGAGGUCCUAUAUUAUUAUUAUUAUUAUUAUUAUUAUUAUUUUUUAAAUAAAAAAGAUGAACUACUUUAGUUAGUUAGUUGUUGAACUGAACCAAACUUUAAAAAGAAACACCACAUCUCCCCUCUAAAGAAACAACUUUUACUUUUUGGCUUUAGUUUAAACACAAACACAUUUUUGGGAAGAACUCAAGUGCAUCACGAGAACCAUUUAGUUAUUAUAAAGCUAAAAUAAAGAGAGAGUCCCUACUCAUCAAGUCACCGCUGCUGACUUGUGUUUAUCUACCCAGUAAGCAUGCCAUAUCAGCAUCAUCACUUCAUUUGAUUGAAGUCAAUAGAAUGAAUGAAUGUAUUAUUCUUAUAUAUAGAUAUAGAAUUACCGAUACAUAAAGAGAGAGACAAAAUAUUCAUAUAAAUAUAUGUCAACAUUUUAUAUACUACACAAGAACUAUAAAAAACUGCAUCAAAAUCACUAUCACCAAUCAAGGACACAUGCAAUUAAACUACAACUCCAAGCAACUCAUAGUCAACAACACAGCUUUCCAUCAAAAAACCCCAUCAAGGUUCUCUCUCUCUCUCUCAAAGUGUAAUCAACUGUUUGGUUUCAAAUGCAGGUACAAGAAUCCAACCUAAACCAGUUUGAGACAAGGGCAUCAAGUAACUUCAUUAAAAAGAUCUUUCAAAAUCUAUUCUUCUUGAACAUUUUCCUAAUUACGGUCUUGGUAAUCUUUCUCACCAUCCGCGGCCUUCUUUCUUCCGCCCAUUUCCACCCACCAAAAUGGUAUCCCCCGCUCCUUUCUUCUACCGCAUGUGCCGGAAUCCUCAGUUUUGCGUGGCAAUUGAUGACCACCUACAACCCUUCAACAACCAUGAGGGCGGCCUUUUGGCUUAGCCCUUUCUUAACAUGCGCGGCUGGAAUUCUAUUCGUCUCCAUUGGCUCCCCCGGAAGUCUAGCAGUAGCAGUAGUGGCUCUAGUUUCAGCAGUGAUACAAUCCCUUUAUUCUUGUUGGGUGAAUCCCCGAUUCAACCAUGCGACUCGAGUUUUAUCAGUCUCGAUUGCAUCCCCUCCUGCUAAAACGACUAUUCUGUGUUUUCUAUCAAUCGUUGCUAGUACUCUCUAUUCGUGUUUCUUGGUUUGUGGGAUUGGAGGAGCCACGGCCACUGGAAGUGGCUUAGACUUCUUGUUCAUCUUGGUAAUCCUACUAAGCCUAACGUGGACCAUGCAUAUUGUCAAGAACACCAUUCAGGUCACCAUCUCUCGGGUCAAAUACAUGCAAUUCGCAUGUGGGAUAGAUAUAGAUACAAAGGUAGCUUUCAAAGAGACACUAGACUAUGCAAUGGGGAGUAUUUGUAUUGGCUCAGCCAUUGUGCCAGUUCUUGGUGUCAUAAGGGGUUCAGCCAAAGCCAUAAUUUUAAUUGCAGGGGAAACAGAUGAGUUCAUGUUCUCAUGUGCUAAUUGCUAUUCCGGAGUUGCUUCCAGACUAGUAGCAUAUGGGAAUCGAUGGGGAUUUGUCCAUGUUGGAGUUUACUGCAAGAGUUUUGUGCAGGCAUCAACCGAUACGUGGGAAAUGUUCAGAAGAGUUGGAUUGGAACCAGUGAUUGAUUCUGAUCUCACCAGUUCAUUUUGCUUCCUCUGCGGACUGGCAGUAGGAUCAGCUUGCACCUUAGUAAGUGGCUCAUGGGCACUAGUGGUUCACAAGAGCUAUGCAACAGAAGUGUCAAUUUACGCUUUCUUAAUAGGUUAUUUCAUGGUAACGGUCAACUAGUACUGAAGAUAAUUAGAGUGUCAAAACUUAAGAAGACAACUAACUUCUUAUUUUUCUAUGUUUUGCAGACUCGGGUAGCUAUGGCAUGGCAACAAGCUUGCGUUUCAGCAUAUUAUGUAGCGUAUUCAGAAAACCCACAGAGCCAACGAUUUGACUCAACUAUCCCAGCACGAAUUCAAGAAAUACAGAGAUCUCAAGUUUAACUGUCUUGUUACCUUAUCAGCCAACAAAUACUCUCAUUUUUAACAUUCAUUCAAUCUGAAUUCUGUAGUUACAGCAGGAGAAACAAUGUAGUAAUAUAUGUGAUAGUGCCGAAAAGCUUUCCAAAUUGUACCAAUUUUCUAUAUUUUCCUAGAUAAAUAAAUUCAUUUUUCUGGAGAUAUAUUUCUAUAUCUACAAUGCUAAUGAUUCUCCAUUAACCCCAAGUGCUUUCGCAUCAAUAGUUGACAUAUAAUUGCUAUCCCUCCCUACUUUCCAAAUAGUCUGGUCCCCAGUUAAACAAAUAUGAUCAAUGGUGAAGAUCAAAUUUACUUGAAUAUCUCAUAAGAUUUGGUAGGUUGAUUUUCAAAGUAGAGACCAAGAUAUUGAUCAUCUCCCAACUAAAAAAAAAAAAGAGAAUGAAAAAGUGAAAGAAAGACGAGGUCAUUUUGCAAAUAACUGUCGUCUUCUUCAGUUCUAAUCUUUCACCACGCAUACAAACAAUACAUGUGUCAACUACCAAAUCAAUGCAUACCUCAACUUUAACAUACUUGGGGUGAAGGGGAUACAGACAAACAACUCGGAUGGGAUAAAAACCUGAUAUUUGUAUACGGAUGUUACAGAAUACAUGGAUACUACACCAUCAUAUAUAGGGAUAAAUUCAAACCUUACGAUUUAAGCAACUCCAACAUGACCUCUACCACCACAAUCCAAACGCAUAAUGUUACCAGUACCACCAGAACCUGCAUGUAAAUGUAAGCAUGUGAAAAUUUCUGUGUCAAAUAUUAAAGAAAAAAGCACAUAUAUAAUUUUUUUUGAUACGUAGAUAAACACUCGUAUAAUUAUACAGAAGCAAAAAUUAUAUAUGUAUAUUCAGUAUGAAACUGAUCAAGAAUUAUGAAGGCAGACAUGUUAAACCCUUUACCAUCUAGAUAAGGAAAGUUAAAGCAUGCAAUCAAAGUUCGUGUCAUUUGAUUUGCUUAAUUUUCUGGCAUAAGAAUAUCAAUAAUGAGUAUUUCUAUAACUGAGUGCAAGAGUGUCUAUAACCUCCUAUGGCAAUAUUUCAUGUUCUGACAAUAUAAUUCUUCGUCUGGUUCUUUAAUCUGGAGCUGUAAAGCAUCUUGCUUUUAUAAGUAGGGCUAUAAUCCAUACAUGGAGAAAUGCAGUUGGAUUAAAGGGCGAAGCCACAUAAAUGUGCAGACAUGCCGAUUUCAUCAAGUACUUGAAAGUUUAUUAAAAAGGAAAGCUAAUGCGUGGAAAUAUGAUUACAUCUGAAUAUAUAUAUAUAUAUAUACACACACACACACACUCACUCCGUCCCAAAAGGAUCAUCAAAGUAUAAUUUGCACACAUAUUAAGAAAAGUAAAAGUAGAGGAAAUAGAGUAAAUAAGUUCUAAAUUUAUCCUUUAGUGGCCCCACAAGAUUAUAUAAAGUGAUGAGUAUUUUUAUUUUUUUUACUAACGGACCUCACUAAAUGACAUAUUUAUCUUUCACUUUAUGUAUUUUAUCUCAUCCUUUUGGAAACAAAAAAAAUUUGUACCUUUAGCCAUCUUUUUUUUGAGGACAGAGGUAUAUAUAUAUAUAUCACUGGAAGUAAAAUUAUCAAUUUUACAAGAAUAAAGAGAUACAUAGAAAGGCCUAAUGGUUUGUAAAUCAUAACCAAGACUAAAAACCAUCACUACAAGAAGAAGAAGAUAAAGUAUGGGAAGUAGGUCAAAGAUGCAGACUGUUCUGAUAAUCAUUACCUGAAAACUUGGGUGCAAACAUAAUGCUUGAUAUGUUUUUGGAUCUGUUUAAAAAGUUUAUACAGGUUUAUGUCUCUUCUAUGGAUGUGAUUUCUGUCUUUCCUUUCUCUAAAUAUUUAUGUGGAAAUAGCAUUUUAACUACAACUGGAAAUAGGAUAUUAAUCCGUAACCCCACUUUUGCUGUCAGAUGCCAGACUAGCACUCGUAAACACUGCUAAAUUACUGUCUGAGGUGGAAUGACAUUCUUGAUCAUAAAUUUCUCUUCAUGAGACAACUCAAAAUGCUCAUAAAUUCCAAGUUAACUUAAUGGAAAAUCACAUUGCAUAUGCCAAUAUGUUUUCUCAUCAACCCUCUAUAUUACAGAAUAGUUACGCGCUAGGCUCACAGAAAAAGGGUACUCAACAGGUUUUUUUAAGAAGUGUAGCAAACAUAAGGCAUAAAUGGUGUUAUGAUGAUCACGGAAAUCACACGUGAAACGUGCUUGAGACCUAGCUAGUUUGAUGUUUAGGUUUAUCCCGAGUCUAAUUUCAUGCUUGCUGUAAGAUAUUAAACAGCUAAUUAUUUUAUGAGGGGUACAGGUAUCUGCUAUUUUUAUAAGUGUCUAUGAACCUAUUUUAAGUCUAUAGCACAACUUUCAAUGUAAUUCCUACCUCAGUACUUCAAGAGAAAAAAGAAACUCUUUCACAGAGCAGAAGCCAUCAUAUAAUCAGAUUCUUCGUCGCCACUUGACCAAAGGAAGUCAUCAAGUUCCAUUCUAAGGACCUUUUCAAAUCUAUGGGAACAGUAUUUUGAAUACAUCUUCUCAAGAGAGAAAAGAAGUUCAAAACAUUGAUCAGUCAUGAUGGAAUAAACAUCUUUUGACUUCAUUUCAACAAAAUUAUUACAUGAUACGUAUCAGCAGGAGAAAGAUAAAGGGGGCAAAUUAGGGAAAAGGAGUUGACUGCAUGAAUAACAACGUAACAAAUGUAAGUCCUGGAUUCGGAAAAGUGAGUUUACCAGCAGCAAACUUUGGCGAUGAUUCCCUGACUCUCCAAUAUAGAGUCCACAUAUAAGCCCGAACCAGAGCAAGUGGCGCAAAGGACAGCACCUUUAGCUUUGCAGUCUGGACACCUCGUAUUGUCUCCAAUGUUCUUUUCGGCCAAUUAUAAACCAAUUGGUUUCUCAAUAAUCUCACAAGGUAUAGCUUUGUCGUAACAAAACAAAGAUUCGAGACUGCUUCUACGUCUAUGUGCAUCCCCUGCUGCAACUUGGAUGGAACCUAUAAGGUGUUAGAACAUAAUGAAUUCUGAUAAAGUAGGUAGAGAAUAAAUACCAUAAUUGAUUUGUUUCAUAAAUUUCUUUACAAACAUAAAUACUUAAAAUAGUAUCAUAGAAUGGUAUUAUGCAUGUGUAAACCAUCUAGUUCUUACCAUUAUCAAAAACUCAAAGACUAGGAAAAAGAAAAUUUUAUUUUCACCAAAAAUAGAACAGUAACUGAUACGAUUUAAAACUACCACCUUUAAACAUCUUAGAUUUCUAUUUCAAUUACAUUGAAACACAACUCCCAGAUUGACUCUCAAUAUGAAAAUAAUCUAGCUUCAGUAUAAACACAAAGCCAGCAUAACACAAGAAUACUUCACGACCUAAUGUCAUUUGUUUUACUCAUUUAAUCAUUGAUACAUCACAGUGGAUCUACGUAUUUUCUUUUGGCCUAUAUUUGAAUGAAAUUCGUACGUCAAGGUUUCUAUAAUCUCCAUAAUGCACUGAUUGGCAUGCAAAACGAGAACUUGAGUUGAAAUUAAUAAUGCAAUCUGAUUCUAUCAAAACUGGAAUUGAGUAGGAAUUUAAUUUGAACCGUUUAUAAGUUUCAUCAAUGCAGCAGCUUGGACCUAAGAAUGGUUUUCCAGCCUUUUGAACAAAUGAACAGUCCGGAACUGGUCGAAGAAUUGCAAUCACAAUUAUGACACUGUUUCCAAGUGAAAAAAUUGAAAUUCAGAUUCCCUAUUACAAUUCUGAGUUCCAUUCUAAUGCCAUCUGUAUAAUUUCAAUGAGCACAUCAAAUUAUUCCUGUAUGAAGAAACAGAUAACGAAGGCAAACUGACCUGAGGCGAACAUGAGCGAGGAACGGCGCCAUUAUCGGAGGUGGCGAGGACUUUGAUACUGGGUUACCGACCGUGAGACUAAAGCAUGAAUUCAUUUGGAUGAAGAAGAAUAAAUAGGUAAAGUAAUUGAUGAAAUCUUCAAUGCACAAUCCAUUUUUAAUCAAACGAUAUGUGUGGAAAUCGAAUACGCGAGUGUUAAAACUCGAAUGAAAUCAAAAGAAAUUUUGUAUCAAGGAUCCAAAGGACCAAAGCUGCUGUUACCUGUUGGACUCAUUGAUAACAGGGACCAUAUUCAAACUCGCGAAAUCAUACCAUUUAUAAAUAGUGCAAACGUAAAAAAAAUGUCCCUGACGUUUCCGAAGUCUCACUUUCACUCAGAAUUAUUUUUUUUAAAGUCAAGCGUGACCCUCCCGGGACAUACCAUCUAGACUACCUCCGCUUACACCUGUACAUUUUUUAAUUUUCUUUCUUUCUUUCUUCUCCCUCUUUUCUCUCUCUCCUUCCGUCUUCAUCUUUUCUCUCUCCCAUCUCAUUCCUUUCCCCCUCAUACCAUGAACACUAUGUUAACCCUUUACAAAACCUUCACCUCACCAUCUCUCCUCCACACAAUUAAUUUAUCAUUCCCUCUCCACCCAAAUUCCAGACGAACCCAGCUCAAUCUACUACGACAAACUAAUCAAUACCGUCGGCCGCGUCAGAGACUUCGUCGCGGUGGGACACUUCCUCUAUAAACAUUGUUGGGACUGUGGUUUACCUAAAGAUAACAGAAAAGGGUGUAAGAGCUUUGAAUUUUGAGAUUUCUUUCAAGUCCAAGUCUGGAGCUUUGCCCACUUUUAUUUUGGUUGAUCAUGGGGGUAAAUACCCUUUCCUAAUUAUUAUUUUUUGUUUUGUUUAAAUUUGCUGCUUUAGUUGAUGUUUGAGGUUGGUUAUUUCAUUAGUUUAAAAAUUAUGAUUAUUUUGCUACUUUAAUUUGAUGUUAUGAGGUAAAUUGGUCAAUUCUAGGAAGUAAUUUUUUUUUUGGUUGGGUGGGUGGGUUGAUUUAUUAGCUAAUUUCUUUGUUUGUGAUGUAAAUUGGUGCUUUUGGAGUUGCUCUUUUGUUAGUUUUGUUUCAUAUAUUCGUUUUGGAGAUAAGAUACCCUUUUUUUUAUUUGUAGCCUUAGGUAAUUUUGCUAUUCCUAUGUUGUAUUUUUACUGCUUUCUUAGUUGAGGUGGAACCUAUUUUGUUUUGAAUUUGAAAAUUGACCCUGCAUUUUUGACGUCAUAUGCAGGUUCUGAUUGUUGUUGUUGUAGUGUAAUCCAAAUGACGCUUGGUAGAAUUCUGGAGGAAUUUUCAUUUGGGCUAAGUAAUUGAUUUUGAUUAUUUAUAUUAAAUAUAUGGGUAAUAAUUAAGGAAGGCGGAGUUGCGAAAAUCUUAGACUAUAUUUAGUCUAUGAAACAGAUUUUGCUUUCCGGCAAUUCAAAAAGAUUAAAUCAAGGAACAAAAAUCUUAUGGACUAUAAUUUUAAUAUUAUUAAAUGCGAGAGAGGAUAGAAGAAAAAGAAGGAGAUGAAGAUCUGUGAAGAAGAAAAUGAAGGAGAAGAAGGUGUGUGAAGAAGAAGGAGAUGAAGAAGACGAAGUGGGAAGAGUCGGCAGCAACCUAUAGAAUUUCAGAACGAAUAGAUACAAUUAUUAGGGUAAUUGAAAAAUCUAUAAAUAUGUCCAAUAAUUCAAUAAAUUUUACAUUUUUCAAUCAAUUAUUCCAACAAUUAGUAAUUGUAAGUAUUUUAUUAAUAAUAAUUUGUAAUUUUAUUAUAUUUGAUUUUUAUUUUUUAUUGAUAAUAUCUCUUUAAUUUAUUUUUUAAUAGAAAAUCAUGGUCCUCCGAUGUAUUAAUUUUUAGAUGAAAAAUCAUGGUCCUCCGAGUUUUUUUAAAUUAAUUGAUUAUUUUAAUCUUUUUAUAUUAUAGUCCACGAGAUAGUCCACAAGAUAGUCCUUCUGCUGAAAGGAUUGAAGACUAUAGGACAUCUUCUAAUGUCAUAUAGACUAAAUAUAAUCUAACAGAUAGUCCAUCUGCCGGAGAUGCUAUAAGAAAAGAGUGAGAAUAGAGACGGAGAGAGUGGGGGGGGGGGUUAUGUGGGUGUGAAUGAGAGAAAAUGGAAGUGAAAGUUUUGGAGGAGAGAGAGAGGGGAGCCCAAAAAGGAGAGAGUAUAUUUCCUAUUUUCAUAUAUGUAUAUAUACACUCUUCAUCACUCUUUUUAAGUUGAACAAAUCUUUUGUCCUCUAAUAAAUUUGGUGCUAUAUUCAUUUAUUUACAGAUUGCUUUUUUGCCCAGAAAGUGUGAAACAGAGGAAGAGAUGGGAAAGAGAAAAAAGAGGAACAAGAAAGGAGAGAAAAGAAUAAAAAAAUUUAUUAAAUUUUAUUUUUGUCACGUGUCAGUCGUUAAUCUCAUCCGUUUGUCUAGCUGGGAUUUUUUUAACGGUAUGGGUACUGUUGACCUUAAAUUUGUAACGUUAAGUGUACUUUUGAAGAAAAAAAAGUUCAGAAUGAAAGUACGAUUUCGGAAAAACGUCAGGAUCAUUUUUGGAUGAUUUUUUGUUCUAACUAUUUUCAACGAUAUAAAAAAUUAUUAAUUAAACGUAUUUUUUAUUUAUUUUAUAUACUAAUUAUAAAAUAUAUAUAUUUUUAAUUUAAAAUUAACUUAUCACUAUUUAUUUUGCUUUAAAACGAAUGACUACAUAUCACAUACAACAAUUGUCGAAUACUCACAACUUAUCACUAUUUAUUUAAGUUUGAAAAUGUCUCAAGUUGAUUUUUAAAAUUCAAUAACGAUCUUAUAAUUUGAAAUGGAAGAAGUAGUAUCUAUAAACUCAAAUUUAUAGUACAAACAAAUAGAAAAGAAGGCAAUUAUCAUUGCGAAAGACACACACACACACAGUGUGUUUGAGUAUUUUGAGAAAUUAAAGAUUCUUAAUUGUAUUUAAUUUUCAAACUCCUAAGGAAAGUGUUAAGAUGUGAUUCAAUUUCAUUUCUUCUAGCACUAGAGCAUAAAUUCUCCAUUGUUAAUCUUUAUUCAGCCUAUACUUAUUCUCACACCGGAACUAUCAUCCGGUGGCUCAAACCAUCAAACUUUUGGUGUGACCUUGUUUCUGUGUCUGACCUCGUUUUUGUGCAGAAUUUGAUGCGCUUUGGUGAUUGGAGCGUGUGGACGAAUAUUGAUGUUAACAUUCCUCAAGAACAGAAAAAGAAAAAACACAAAUUAAACAAGUGCAUGGAAUAUAUAGAGUAAUUAAUAAUUUUGUUCAUAAUUUUUUGUUUAUGGUAUUUGUUAUAGUAAAUAUUACAUUAUGUUUAUUGAAAUAAAUAAAUAAAUAAUAGAUGAUAAAAAUGAUGAAUGUAAAUUUUAUUAAAGCAAUAGAAAUAAAAACUAUAAACUCGCAUAUAGAAUUCAUUGAUGAGUGUACAAUUCAUGAAAUCUAAAUCCGAGUUGCUUUAUGGGCCAGAUUGAAGGUAAAGCAGUAGCAAAGGAACAACCAAUUAGGUGGCCAAAUUGAACAUAUUCGUAGUCUGAUUGAACCUUAUUUGGCCUCUUGCUACCACCACCGGUAACUAGAAUUCUUGUCACACGUGCUGUAUUGAAUUGAAUGCAUUUAGAUAAGUAGUGGCAACCGAUGAAUGUUAAUGGACCACACACACACACACACUAGUUCUAGUUCUAGUUAGUCUCACACACCACCUUUCACUCAUUUACAUAUCCAUCAUCAUAGGCUAAAAAACACUCGGAGACAGAAAACGACGCAUACCCACAAGAAGGGGCCCUUGUUACCGAUGGGCGAUGACAUCAAUUAUUUUUUUGGAUGGUUGAACUUGAGGUAAUACAAUUUAAUUAUUUAUUUUAUUUAUUUUUUUGGGGUUAAUAAAAAGUAAAUAAUCAAUAUUGUUAAAUCAUAAGUCAUGAGUUAUAAAUAAUUUUAAUAUCAUAUAUUUAAUUUAAUUGAAGAGAAAAGGGUGAAAUCAAAUCAAGAAAAGAAAAGGGUCCCCGUUGAGUUGAGAUGAAGCACAGUGAUGCACUUGGCUCCUACAAUUUUCACCAGAAAAUUAAAGGUAUGAUGUAUAUGCGUUGCAUCAAGACUUGAAAGGAACUCAACAACCAUACCAUGUUUUAGUCCGAUAUAUCUAAUGACGGAUCAUGAAAUUAACUUUAUAGUAAGUUGGUCAAUUGACUAAUACAGUGCUGACACGCAAGGAAAAUAUCACAUCCUGGCCUGCGUGUUGACACUAUAUAAGUCAAUUGAUCAAAUUUAACUUCAUGUUAACCACUUUCCCUAACGAAAGUUUGGAAUAUACAUGUAUUAUUAUAUUGUUAUCAAAACAACAACUAGAAAGUUUAAAAUUAUUUUUCUGGUUUAUAAGUCGUCGCGGUUGCUCAUGCACAAGCUGCAGAGCAUUUCAAGUUGAACAUCAAUUUGUCGUACGUAAUCACCAUCAACCACUAAAUUAUCAUACUCCUUUUAUCAGGCCAUCGGAUAGUCAAUUAUCAUACUAUUGGCACUGCCACUCAUAAUCUGUAUGUAUAAAUAAAUAAGAUCUACUCAUUUUACAUCAUCUAUUAUGUAAUUUGAAUUGGGUGGGACAGAACUAACUAAUUUAAGAUAAGCAUGCUAUCACUUGCCAAACAAAUACUAACAUAAAAUGAAAUUUUACAGGUUGGAAGAAAGAAAAAAGCACUUAUCUUGGGAACGAACCAACCAAGGAAUUAUUAACUUAAAGAGUUCUGAAGAUUCAGUAAUCCAAGAGCUCCGGCAAGCUUUAGAAAUAUAAAGCACAAGUAUAUGGCCAAUAGGCCACAUCCAAGAUACCGGUCCGGCCGCAUAUUUUUAUUAGGCAACACCGCUAGUGCCCAAAGUAAGCCACCCAUCAAGAACCCUAUAGUUUCGUAUAGAGAAGAGUCUACAGGAAUCACGUAAGAUGAUGGAUAUUCUGACCAUGAUGUCAAAACAAGUGAUAUCCCUAAGCCCACCAAUGUAUUGAACACUGGCCCGGCGUAGCAGCCGGAUAUCGCAAUCUGUGCCCCAUCCGGACCACCAUGCAUUGCCAUGGAAACAUUGGCUAUCAAAUCCCCAAUUGAGUUUCCCCAAGCUAGGACAGUGAGUCCCAAAACGGAAGGGCUAAUUCCAAUGAUGUUCCCAAGUGAAACCAACAAACAAACCAGUUCCUCUGCAAUAAUGUACGUCCAAGUGACGCUCAUUAAAAACCCUCCUGCCAGCCAAGGUAACAAGCAGUGUUUUGGAGGCCUAGAUGUCUUAGUGGCCACAAAUGCUACGUUCCCCAAAACCAUCCCAACUAAACCGGAUGUCAUGUAGAUCACUAAUCGAGUUUUUGAAUCCAUUUCUUCUCUUUGAGUAUUCCAAAGGGUUGCUAAUAGAAUUGGAGCCAAAAUAACUGAAAGAACAGCAAAUGGCUUGGACCAUUUUUCUUCACUAACAAUAGGUAUUGUAAGUUUUCUUGGCAAGUGAAGGGGCAACUCCAAAACAUAAAGGAACAACCCCAAAUAUUGACUUAAUGAUGUAUUAAGGUUGCAACACCUUCUCCUUUGAUUCUGAUCCGAUUCUUCUGAUCCAUUUUGUCGAGCCAAAACACACUUUUCCUCGUCAACACAACCCAAUAAUGGUAUGCUGACGACCUCCCCAUAUUCAUCCCCAUCCCCAUCCCCAUCCCCCGCGAAAUCUUCUUGCUCACCAUUGAAGAAAUGCAUUGCACAUACCACACAUAUGUAAAGAACAUAAAUCGAAGCAAAACAAACUGCAACCCAAAAGUUUAUUCUUCCAACACUAAGGAUCACUAGUAGAGAAAUAAGAGAGAAAAGCAAGAAGAUAAUAUCUCUUAUGAAACUGGGCCUAUCAAUUUUGAUCUGAUGUGAACUGAUUAAUAUACUUAUAACUCCAACCACAAUACUAGAUAUCACAAAAGCUCCACCCAAAACACUGUUAAGGCCAACAUCACCGUCACUGGAUCGCGUAAAAGAGACGAUACUAGCAAAAACAUCAGACGCACCAUUUCCUAGCGGAAGAAGGGUAGUACCAGCUAUAGUUGGAGAGAGAUUGAGAAUUCUAGAUAAAUUUUCCACUGAAGGACAGAAGUAUUCUGAAGCUGUAUUAGCCAGUAAAUAAAAUAACAAAACAAGCCAUAGGAAAAGUAUAGUGUAACCGAAAAAGGGUAAUUUUCCACAGCUACAAUAGAAGAUUUCAAGACAGUUUAUAUACCCUUUUGGCUGGCAAGAUUUGUUUGAUCUUAUGUAUGUGCAUUUGGAUUGAUAAUCAGUAUAGUUGUGAAGGGCAGAGCAACCAUCGUCUUUAUUUUCAUGGAGAAUUGAAGACUUUGUGAAAAGGGCAGUGGACGUACCUUUGGAAAUAGUACGAAAAUUGGUAGUGAGAUAGAGUGAGAGGAGGAAAAUGAAGGAUAUGUUGAGGAGGAGAGAGAGUUUCAUGGUAUUUGAUGAGAAAAAGUGUUUGAGGUGCUGAUAUUGGGAUGUAAUCAUAUAAUGUAGUCCAUGGAAACAGUAACCGUAUGUUGCCCAACUUAUUUGGUGAUCAAGAUAAUUAAUGGACAAUAAUGAGACAAAAAAGGGGAGAUGACUAUCUACCAUGUGUAGUCAAAUUCAACUUGUUUUCUUCUUCUUCUUCUUCAUUUUUAAGCAAGUAAAAAGAUAUAUAAUUAUGAGAUGAAGGAAGAUUAGCUAGUACUUGUGGGUUUUUUUGACAAUUAAGUUCUCAGAAUGCAGCCACAAUUUAUUUAUCCUCCAUAUCUGUACUUGUAGUAAGAACAAUUGACGAAGCUUCAUAGUGGCAAGGGAGAGAAACAGAGGACUCAAAGCAUUGAGUGUAGGAAACAUAAGCGUUCGUUUUAAAUCAUGCAACCAAUAUUCUUACAAAACAAGCAAGGCACCUGCUACCUAUUUUGGAAGAAAUGGUACUACUACUACUACUUUCUUUAUAGUUUUUUACCAAACAUAACCUUGGAUUUAGAAAAACAAACUGUUAUAUUUGAUUUUUAAAAUUUUUUAUGGUCAAUUUGUACAACUUCAAAAUUAUUUAAUGCAAUACUUAGUUCAUACUAUGUGUCCGGAACAAAUAAUGUCCCAACAACAAGAUUAAGUCGUGUCGUGUGGCACUUUUUAGGGUAUUUUUUUAAACAAUUAAAAUAUAUAAAAAAAACCCAAUUGUGCCUCCCUCUUCGUGCCUUCUUAUUUCUUCAGCACCAUGUUUGCUCUUUCUGGGCGGAUUUGUUGGCUGUAUUAAGAUUGAAGUUGUCCCCUGAGGGAGAGGAAUCUAAAUGCUCUAAAUUUGGUGGAUUUGUUCUUGUAGGACAUAACAUAAGAUGAGACAUUAUUAUUUAAAAGAGAAAAGUAAAUUUGAGAGUUACACUACCUUCUCUCCUCUCUUAUCUCUCACAUGAGUUGGACACCAUUUAAAAUUGGCUUGGUUUGACUUUUUAAACCAAAUUAAUCAAUUUCAGAAUUAAAAAUUAAGUAUAUUUAUUUAUUUAUAUUUUCAAAAUCCUUCAAAAUGGAGGGAGUAGUGAGUUCUUAUGUUUAUAGUUUUUGCAUAUAUUGAUAAGAAAAUAAUAUAAAUUUUGAUUACAAAAACAAUUAAUUUGACUAAAAAAGUAAGUAAACCAAAUUUUUUUUGAGAGAUACAUGAGUACUAAAAUUAUUAUUAUGAGAGCUUAUAAUAAAUCAUAAUUUUUAAAUUAAAUAUUUCACAAAUUAACUAAGAAAAUAGGCAAAUGGAGCUUCUUCUUCUUUUUGAGUAGGAGUGUAUUACAAUUACAGAGCACACCCCUGAAAGAAUUGUAACCCCAUAUAUAACAGAAGAUGAGAAGAAGCAGUUUUAUUUCCACCUAAUUAUCUCUCUCUAAGCUCCUAUUACAAUAGACUAUCCUAUGUUUCAUAUUUAUUCCUCACAUUUGGGCCUUCAAACACAGCCCAUAAGCCCAGAAGAAAAGUUGUCCAAAGUUGAAAAGUAGUAGUAGUAGGAACUUCAAUAUUGGGCCGGGCUAAUAGGGCUCAGUCAUAUUACUUUAUGCAGACCAUCCUAAUAAUAAAGCGUCAAAAAAUUGCCGCGCCACUAACGCUCUGUUUCUGAAUUUUGAACAGAAAAAAAAAAAGAAUAGAAAACUUAAAAUUUUCUUUUGUGUUGUUUCUGAGUUUUUAAUGAAAAAUGAUAAAAAAUUUAAAAUUAAGGACAUGAGUUGUAAUUUAAAAUUUAUUAUAUUAAAAGUUGAGGAUAAUAUGAGAAUUAUAAAAAUAUUACUUAUUCUAAUUUCUUUUUCGUUCAAAUCAUGCCAAUUUUGGACGAAAAAUUUUGGCAUAAAAAGUGGUCAAAUUUUUUAUCUAUUUUUUUUCUUUUCCGUUUAUUAAAAAACUCAGAAACAAAACUUAAAUUUUCCGUCCAUUUAUUUUUUUUUCUGUGCAUUUUAAAACUCAUAAACAGAGUGUAAAACACACUCGGAACACCAAAACCUACCAAGAAUUCAAGAACCAAGAGGGAGAAAAAACGGAUAAGUCUCCCUCUCUCUCACUCUCGGUUUUGGUUGAGCUUUGGUCUCUCGGUUUCUGAGUUCUGUACCAGCUUAACUACAUACUGUUAAGCCAAAAAUGUUAAUGAACUCUACCUUCCAUGGCCGGCCUUAUCCACUAUUCACUAACUCAAAUCGUUACAAACUUUCUCUCUCUUCCCAUAUAUCUCUUCACCUGAAAAGCCCUCAGCUUCUUCCUCCUUUGUCUUUACUUUCGUUUAGAAGAACUAGCAGAAGAAGAAGAAGCUCUAAUCAAUUUUGCAUUCGAAAUUCGACUCAGCCUGAUGUUUUACAAACUACUGAUGAAGGGACACAGCGACACUCCAUCAAAAUUCCUGUCGGUGAUCGGCAUGUAAGUCAUUCUAAUGUUUGGGUAUUGUUUCCUAUUUCCUUGCUAAUUUGGUUAAAUUUAGUGGAAGUUUUCCUUCUCCAGUAAAGGUUGUGAAGUGCACUUUUCAUAAGGAUUCAAAUUCUAUACUAAAUUAUGGCCAUUUGCUAUUUCUUUUACUAAUUCUUACAAAAAAUAAAACAGAUACUGGUUGAGACGGGUCAUAUGGGGAGACAAGCUAGUGGUGCUGUUAAAGUAACAGAUGGAGAAACUGUAAGUUUUUCGAUUUAGAUUUAGGUUUGCCUAUAUGUUUUGUCCAUACCAUUUCAGUGCUGCGUGUGGUUGGAUUCUUAAAGUGAUAAUUUGCUCCUACUUAGUGAUGCUUACAUUUUUUUGACUGGUAGGGCUACAUCCAUAUGCACAUAUUUAAGUAACAUACAUAUUUAAGUAACAUUUUCUGCAAUUCAUUUUUGCACUGUCAAUUUCGUUGGUUCAUGAACUGAUGUAAAAUAACAAUGUCUGUGAAGCAAACACUAAAAUCAUAGUUAGCCCUUGAAAUAAUACUCCCUCUGUUCCACAAAAAGAUCCCCAAUUGAAAUUUUUACAAACUUCAAGGUUAUAUAUAUUUCUGAAGAUUACUUGCCACAAGUAAUGGUUAGAGUUAUAGGACCACAAGGGCUGGGAGAAAUGACAAAGGGCUUGAGGAAGAACCCUCAAGGGCUCUGGUUUUAGUCCCAUACUUUGGGACAAUUAUUGUCAUUGAAGCAAACACUAAAUUCAUAGUUAGCCCUUGAAAUAAUACUCCCUUUGUUCCACAAAAUGAUCGCCAAUUUAAAAUUUUACAAACUUCAAGGGUAUAUAUAUUUGUGAAGAUUACUUACUACAAGUAAUGGUACCUCAAGGCCUCUGGGACAAUUAUCUAUAAAAGAGAAAAAUGUAAUGUUUAGAAUUAUCUGAUUGAUUAAGACUACGAGCUAAAGGACCAAAUUAAUAAAAAUAUUACAUACGUAUACAUUUAUGUCUAUAUAUUACUUUAUGUACCUUAUAAAAGAAGAUGCUGGUAUUUGAUAUGCGACAGAGAAAACUAUCCACGAUGGCUCUAAAUUUUUGUCAAAACGACACUAAAAAAGGUUCUUAAACUAUCAUUUGCGGGACCACCAAUAAAUUCGUUUGUUUUUGUUUCUAUAUCUGAUAUAUAUUAAAGCUGUACAAUUUUUGUUAAAAAAAUUCACCGUUUGUUAAAGACUUCAUCGAUUCAAGAAAAGGGAUUUCAUUUCAUGAAAAUUUGAAUUGAAAGGAUUUUGCCGUUGACAUUUUACUGACUAGAUUGGAACACUUUCUUAGUUAGCAAGACCUUUUGAUUUGUUCAUCAACUAGGUUCCAUUGACAUAUAUAGGUUCAUAAAGAAUUAUUUGGAUUUAUUUCUGUCAAUACUUUGUAUUUUGGUUAUGUGAGUUGGAUCUGCAGAUUGUCUACACAACUGUGUGUUUGGCUGAUGUUCCAAGUGAGCCUUCUGAUUUCUUCCCACUUUAUGUGAAUUAUCAAGAGCGUUUUUCAGCAGCUGGUCGAACUAGGUUUGUCUUGUGUUUCUCUUCUUUCAUUUGAUUAUAGUACCGUCAGGAUAAAACAUGCAAUAAUUAUUGUUAUCAUUAUUAUAUUAUCUGCUUUUGGACUCGUGCUUUCAGUGGAGGAUUUUUCAAGCGAGAAGGGAGGGCAAAAGAUCAUGAGGUACUAGCCACUAUCACUUGGGUAGAAAUACCCCUGUACAGCUGAUCACUACAUUUAUUACUUUGAAUAGGACUAUCGCUACAUUAAUGUAUUGCCUCAAAUUCUCAAUAGCUAAUUGUAUGUUGUUGGUGGCAGGUGCUUAUUUGUAGAUUGAUUGAUAGGCCGCUGCGCCCAACCAUGCUUAAGGGCUUCUAUCAUGAAACUCAGAUACUAUCUUGGGUAUGUUCUAUGUUUUCUUUUUGAAACAUCCCUUUAUUUAAGAUGUUAUUUCUCUUCCUUGUUGUGUUUGUCGUCCUGUUUACUACUUACAUUAUUCUCAUCAGGUGUUGAGCUAUGAUGGUUUGCAUUCCCCAGAUUCUUUGGCCGUUACAGCAGCCGGAAUUGCAGUGUAAGUUAGAUUCUUGUUCCUUGUUUAUUGAACAAUAGAAUUCGAAAUCCAAUAAUUUUUUCAGGUAUUUUUUUCUUAUACCUUGUUAUUCGAAUUCAACAGAGCUAUUUCGGAAUUGCCAAAUUCAAAAACUGUUGCAGGAGUUCGAAUUGGUCUGGUUGGGGAUAAGUUUAUUGUGAAUCCAACAACCAAGGAGAUGGAAGACUCGAAGUUGGAUAUGUUGCUAGCAGGCACUGACAGUGCAAUAUUGAUGAUAGAGGUCAACUCUCACUAUUUUCUUAUCUAUAGCAAGUCAGGGGAUCUUUCUGUAAAUAUAUACACCCGUAAACUUAUCCAAGCAUGAUAAGGAAAAAUCAUAUGGGAUGUGCUCAAUUUUUGUAGUGGAUUAGUUGAUUACUGUUUUAACCACCUACAUGCACCCUAUUUGUUAAACAAGGAACUAUUAAAUAUUUCUGAUGUCUAUGCAGUAUGCCCAUGUUAAUCUUUUCUUUAUCCUUGCUGUCAAAUAGUGAUCAUGUAUUGCAUUUUAAACUGAAGUAGUUAACUGUAUUUGUUGCUUGUAAACCAUCAUAUAAUUGCAAACUGUAGAAGGCUAUUUCUUUUAAAUUUAUUAAUUUUAUUCUUGUCGGUGCAAUAUCUGCAUCACAUGAAUGUUUUUCGACUAGUAUAUUCCUUGGUUAUUCGAUUACUACUGUCCAUGCUAAUUAAUCACAUUGACUCUAGUCUCUAGUGUUUUGGAACUUAUUCUUGUAGGGUUACUGUGAUUUUCUUCCAGAAGAGAAGUUGCUUCAAGCAGUAGAAGUUGGGCAGGUGGUUGUUUUUUACUGAUUUAGUAUUUACUUAUUUUGCUAUAGUGUCGUUGUGUUCAACUUUUAAAUAUAUUUUGAUCAUUUGCCACCAUACUUGGAUGUCUUCAUUGGACACAUAUCUAUGAUUUUGUUCCUCUCUCUCUCCCACUUGAGGCAUUAGGUACUUAUUAGAGGGAAUUGUAAAAUUAAUGGUGGUAGAUCUUAUAAAGCCGAGCAGCACUUGUUGUACAUAUGGCAUCAACAUUUAAUAACUUAAAUUUGGGUCUGCUCUUUCAUUAAGAGGUUCUUUCUAGAACUAUUGGCUUUUGUAUGGCUCUAAGCCUCUAACGCAAAAUCUAUGUAACAAAUCUACCUUUAGACACACAAGAAUCCUUAUUUUUGAAGGUGUUAGUAUUAGUAUACACUAAAAUAAUGCUAGAAUGACUUCUUCUCUUGUGUAUCUAAUGUUUAAAGUAACCAGUUGUUGUUGAUCCAUUUUCAAAAGCCAACAAAACUAGAAUAGCACUAUAUUUUGAAGUGAUCCAUCCUUUCAAUUUAAUUUUAAUUUAAAGAAGUCUCACUAUGAUAGUUGUGUAAAGUUAUCAGAUGCUCUAAAACCUUAAGCUGUUAGAUAGACUGCCCACUGCCCAAGAAUGUACAUAUACUUCAGCCCUCCCCAUCAUGUGCACCUCUGACACUUGCACGUGGAGAGACAAGGUGCAUCAUAGUGCACAAACCAAAGUGCAAUUGCAACAAGAUAAAGGGGGAACCAAUUGGAAAAUUGAACCCAAGACCUUGCAUACCCAUAGAUUUGGCACCAUUUCCAGUUAACAGCUAUGAUAGUAUCUUAAACUGUUAAAAAAGGUCCAACAAAGUAUAUCAUGCUUUAGAAAUUUAACUUAUAAAAAAGAAAUAACAUUUGUGGACAUACAAAGUGGCAAACGAAAUAUGACAUAAAUAAAUUAUCUUAGCUUAAUGUCUUUAAUCUCCUGCCUCGAUGAAAGUUGGUAGCCUUGUCUUGAUUACAAAUUUACAACAAGUUAUUAUUUGGUAAUUGGGCUUAUAAUGAGCAUGUAGCUGGAGAGCAGUGGAAAUCCUCUUUUUAAUUGAGUUGCACAUGAAGAUGAAAGUACACUGAUUUAAGACUAUUGUAUUUCAUCUGAAGGGAGGCAAAAGAUAAUUAAAUGAGAUUGUAUUUGUUCAUCACCAAGACUUCUUCUUGAAGUAAGAUGAUGUACUUAGAGAGCAAUAUCAGUUGAUGGAGCCAUUUUUGUAAUCUGAAAGGACACAGGACAAUAGUCCAAAGAGAUUUGUCAAACUGCAAAUCAUUACAGGAAACUAAUUUUAAAUUCAUUACUUGUUUCAUUAGUGAUGGAGCAUGAAUUAGUGUAAUUAAUGUCCUAGAACUAUUCUAAUUUCUUACUUUCUUAGGACGCUGAUUUGGAUGCAAAAUAUCAACCAAGUUAAAUUGUGGCUUUUAAGAUUAAUUGAGGAAUUUUUUCUUUGUUAUUUUACCUAUAGAGUAGGAUUAUUGUAAGCUACAUUUGGCACUUAAAUUGUUAUUAAAAGCUGAAUACCAUAAAAGAAAAAGAGGAAUCCUUGUGUGUUACUAAACUCUUUUCUUGUUUGCAAUGCCAGGAUGCUGUACGAGCCAUUUGCAAUGAGGUGGAAACAUUGGUUAAGAAGUGUGGGAAACCAAAAAUGCUUGAAGCAAUUAGAUUACCUCCUUCUGAGCUAUAUAAGCACGUCGAAGUAUAUACCUUUGUCUUCCUUUCUAGAAAAUAACACUAAACUUUGUUUUGUUGUUUUAUUUUUGUCAGAGAUAGUUCAGAUAUCUUGCAUGCUCUCUACAAUUUUAACAAUGGGUAGAUAAAAAAGAUUUACUUCCUGUUAUUACUUAUAUACAUACUUUAAAAUAAUGGGGUAGUUAAGUAUCCACAUUAAGGGUAUAAUAUGGCGGUUGAAUCAAUUGAUGUUCUUUUCCAUCUUGAAAAGUAUAACUUGAUCUGUGAUUUAUUUCAUUUAAAUACGUUUGUGUUUCAUCUUUGUUUAAUUGAUGUGCAUAAGUUUAGGUUAUUUAUACUCAUUUGAUGAGCACCGUAUGUUAUUAAGAUAUUUUCCAUCUCUUAAUGUCAUGAAUAACGGGAACUGUUAAUUUGUUAUAUUCUAGGAAAUUGCUGGUGAUGGAUUGGUGAAAGCACUACAAAUUAAGAACAAAAUUCCAAGAAGAAAGGCCCUAUCGUCACUGGAAGAGAAAGUUUUAACUAUACUUACGGAGGAGGGUUUUGUGAGCAAGGACGAAACUUUUGUAGCUGCUGAGGUGGUACCAGACUUGUUUGAGGAUGAAGACGAGGAUGAGGAAGUGGUUGUGGACGGGGAAGUUGAUGAAGGAGAUGUUCAUAUAAAACCAGUUUCACGAAAACCCAUUCCUUUGGUAAACUCGACUAUUCCAUACCUAAAUAUAGUAGUUGUGUUCGAAUAUCUUAGCAAGGUUUUCAUUUAGUUAUUUUUCUUGCUUAAUUAAGUACAAUAGGCCUUAUUUAGAUUUUAGUAUGAAUAUGAUUGUUAAAAUAUUUAAUUGGGACCUAUAAUCUUCACUUGGUUGAUUAUAUUUCAGAAAAAGCCUUAUACAUCAUUCGCUGGGCUGGGAGCGUUGUGAAUAAUUUUGCAUAAUAUAAUUGUCCUUUUAGCUUUUCUUGACCAAGUAAUUCUACAAGGAAAUAUUAUUAAAAUUUAGACAUACAGUUAGAUUUAUGUUACUUUAGAGCCUUGAAAUGAAUAAAUAUCUCCCCUUUUCAUGGUUCAACUUUUGCGGUAAUGGCUUAGGUUGCAGAAAGGUUUUUUAACUCAAAACAGGUUUUGGCUUCGGUUUCGGCGAUACACACUAUUACACUAGAGCUUCAAAUUUAUGUAUUUAUUAUUAUUAUUGUUUUUAAUUAGUUAAUAUGUAAAUAUACAUAUUUAUUAUUACUGCUUCUAUUCCACAAAAGGGUCAUAUUGUUUGAUAAUAUUAUUAUUACUCCCUUUGUUUCACAAAACAGUCUGAUUUGUUGAUUUUCCAUUACACCGUUAUUACCUUGACUUCUCCAUUAUGCCGUUAUUUCUCCUUUCUCUGUCACACCAUUAUUUUUUCCCGGCAAAAUUUCGCCUAUACGCAACUUUAUAUUGAUAAUCUUGAAAUUACAAAUCUUUAUCGGAUCUGUGAGGAAAGAAACAAAAACCAAUACUCCAAGAUUUCAGCAACCCGGCCUAUACUUUGAACCAUGCUCCUUUGAAAUAAAAAUCAUCUUUUGUUUAUGAAGAAGGUUUUAUUAUUUGCCUCGUCUACAAUGUGAGCAAAGCAAAAAUUUCCAAUACAUUUUGUUGCAUCUUAGUUGAAUUUCACUUUGUAUUGCUCUAACAAGUAACAGGCAGCUCCUGAGGAUAUGAGUGGGGUGUGAACAGGAUGGAUGCCCUACCCUUAUCCCCAUCCCAUUACUGUUCUUCCUUUUUGCCAUCCCAGUUCAGAUGAACUGUUGAAAGGUUAUUCAUCGUUAGUUAUAUAGCUUCUCUACUGUCUGUCACUUUUCCUUGGCAGUAUCAAUAGAAUUUCAUCAUCCAUGUGGGAGACGUAAGUAGUACCUAUGUUUUGAACACAUAAUAACAAGUAACGAAACACCAGAUUUAAAGGGUCAUAAUCAUUGUAAAAAAAAAUAAUCUUUCCGUGCUAUCAAAUUUGGUUCAUACAAGUCAAGAAGAUUUGUUCUCCAACAAAAAGUGUCAUUAAUAUCUUUUUCGGUUGUCAAGUGUAAAGGUUUUAAGUAUGUAUCAAUUUCUUAUUAAACCUGUUGCUUGCAACACUGCAGUUGGACACUCGAAUUGGGUUUUAUGGUGCUUGUCAAUUUGCAUCGCAAGGAUUUUACAUUCAAAUCCCCAUAAAGUUCUUGCUUUAAUGACUUCGGCCGGGUACUAUCUUACAUUGUUGUCCGAACACCUAGUCUGUUCCCUGGUGAUCACUCAGGACUGAAAUCUUCACAAUUUUUUCAAUACAUCAAAAUAACUGGGACUGCCUAAACCUUUCCUAGUAUGUGUCCAGGCGAGCGUCCCAGGUGGGCGUCAGUUGUCUAUUUAUCACCCAGGUCUUUUUUGCUCAGGCAAGCAUCACACAAACAGUUUUAAUUACAUAAAGUGCCUAGCUAUCACCUUUAGCUACAAUCAUAUCUACUUAAAUUUCCUUAUUUCAGCAUUUAAUUGAUUUUAUUGCUUUAUCUACUACAUUCACAUUUUAUAAUUACACAUUGUGGAAUAAGUCCAUAAUACCUGUCUCAAUUCUCUUCCUCUUAUAGUUGUUUUCUGAGGUAGAUGUGAAGUUGGUGUUUAAAGAAGUUACAUCCAAAUACCUGCGGAAACGUAUUGUGGAGGUACGAAUGCUCUUUCUAACUGAAUAACCACAUGCGCAUAAAAGUUGAUGUUUUUUUUUUCAAUUUCUUUAGAAAAGCACUCACGCAUGCACAUAAUACAUAGUUUGUAACAUAUUCCUUAGUUUCUUCUCUUGCUAUUUGUGAUCUUUAUAUGUUUAUGAGUGAUACUAUUUUCAAUAAAUUAAUUUUUAAUUUUAUUUCCAAUAUAUGCACUGAACUACUCAACUCUUAUUUAGUAGUCUUUUACUAUGUAAAAUUCUGGUUAAUACAUGAAUUAUUAUCUUGAUGCAAUUGAUGGAGGUUGUCAGUGAGCUCUAAGUCUUGGUAUUGAUGUUAUUAUUUGAAUGUAGAAAAAGCUGAUAUAAAGUUUAAAUGUCUUCUUAUUUGUGUACGAUGCUUUGUUGCUCAAUGUACUCAAUUAUGGUAUAAGCCUUCCAACACAACGUUUAUUUUUUGAUUGAGCUGGUUCUGAAUUCCCUGUAAAGUUGCUAACCCUGGUUACUCCCUUGCCUCAUCCCACCUUGUGAUUGUUCAGCACACAACUAUUAGCUAGUUUACAGUUUUCAAGAGUUUAUUUGGGUAUUUUAUUUCUUGUUUCUUAUUGAUUACUCAAAUAUGAAAUUAUGUCAGAGAUAAAAUAAAUAAAUAAACGUUUCUUGGGAAAAAUUUAACUCAAGUUUGUUCUUAAAAUUUAGUAAACCAUAUAUUUAUAUGCUAACUUGUUUUUUGAAAAGUUAAACUUACCUUGCUCUUCACUAAAUUUGGUAAAACCUUCCAAUUGCUGCUAAUUCCAUAUAAUGUGUUGAUUUUGAAAAUUUCCUUUUCUUUUAGGGAGGAAAAAGAAGUGACGGCAGAACUCCAACUGAUAUACGUGUAAUUAACUCAGAAUGUGGAUUACUUCCUAGAGCACAUGGAAGUGCUCUUUUCACACGCGGAGAAACACAGGUUUGUUGAAUAUCAUUCAUUUUCGAGAUUUACUGGUAAGUAUGAGUGGGUGCCUUUGCGCGAUGAUCAAAUCUACACUGUUAUUUGGAUUAAAAACUGAACACUUCUUUCAUUUAGUAUUUCUUGAAAAGUCACUAUAUGGCAGCAGACUCAGCACUAUCAUUGGAGCAAUGCCUUGAUAUAUUUGGUUUUGUUUUCACUUGUUGAUGAGUUUGUGUAUAUUUAUACAGUCACGUAUCUAUUUAAUACCUCUUUAAAAAUGCAGUUGAAUUUCAAUCUCUCACUCAUUGUCUACUAAUAUCAAUAUGUUUGAGCAUGCUGUUUAAAAUAUUUAUGCAUUUGUAGAAAUUUUAGCAUUUGUUCAUAUUAAUUAUCAAUGAUCUGAGGCAAAUACAUCUCCAUAUGGUCAGUUUGGCCAUCCUAGACUCUUCCUAAUUUAUUUUUGUUUCCUAUGUCCACUCAGCCUCACUCCCAUAUAUAUAUAUAUAUAUAUAUAUAUAUAUAUAUAUAUAUAUAUAUAUAUAUAUAUAUAUANNNNNNNNNNNNNNNNNNNNNNNNNNNNNNNNNNNNNNNNNNNNNNNNNNNNNNNNNNNNNNNNNNNNNNNNNNNNNNNNNNNNNNNNNNNNNNNNNNNNNNNNNNNNNNNNNNNNNNNNNNNNNNNNNNNNNNNNNNNNNNNNNNNNNNNNNNNNNNNNNNNNNNNNNNNNNNNNNNNNNNNNNNNNNNNNNNNNNNNNNNNNNNNNNNNNNNNNNNNNNNNNNNNNNNNNNNNNNNNNNNNNNNNNNNNNNNNNNNNNNNNNNNNNNNNNCUCUUUAAAAAUGCAGUCAAAUUUCAAUCUCUCACUCAUUGUCUACUAAUAUCAAUAUGUUUGAGCAUGCUGUUUAAAAUAUUUAUGCAUUUGUAGAAAUUUUAGCAUUUGUUCAUAUUAAUUAUCAAUGAUCUGAAGCAAAUCCGUCUCCAUAUGGUCAGUUUGGCCAUUCUAGACUCUUCCUAAUUUAUUUUUGUUUCAUAUGUCCACUCAGCCUCACAUGUUUCUUAAAUGCCCAAAAUUAUGCAAUAAAUCUACCUCAUAUUAUUGCCAAAAACUUAAGGUGGUGGUGGUUAUAUCUUAGUUAUUUUGGCCUAUUUCUCGUCUUCAAAAUAACCAUAUAGCACUCAUGGAGGUGAUCCUUUUGAUGCAUCCUUGGUCAUCAACUACAUUGACAUCGAAAUGGCUUACAUUAUUAUAUUUUUAUAUGGCUUUGUGUGAAUCACUAUUCACUUGGUUUGAUUAUGCUAUGCUGAAUUUCAGUUAGACAAUAUCCAAAAAUGGUAGUAGGUGAGUGUGAAAUAAUGGGUCUGUGAUGCUGUCAGGUUCCUAAUGCCUUUUGUCGUGUUUCCUUUUGGUAUUUACAGUCGUUAGCAGUGGUUACGCUUGGUGAUAAACAAAUGGCACAAAGAAUUGACAACCUUGUGGAUCUGGAAGAUGUGAAGAGAUUCUAUCUUCAGGUGCGUGCAUGUGCGUAGUUUUUUGUCUGCUUCAAACUCACACACAUGCACAAAUAGAAAGUCUGUUCCUCCCAGAAAGGUAACGUUAGAGCUGAAUAAUUGCAGCUAUAGUUACUCUUUUAAAGAAUUUAACAAAAUCAUACCCAGUGCACAAAGACUCCCGCAAAUAGCAGGGCCUGGAUAAGGUUUCUAGAAGUUUAAAUAUUUAUUUCCUGACUUGAUUAUAUGAUUGCCUUAACUUUCACACUGUAUUCUCUCCCUCUAGAAAUUUGUUUUCCAAAUUGGUUGUAAUUUAUGUUUGCUAAAUGGUGCUGCUAAUAACGUUACUCUUCAAUCAAAAGGAUGUCACUUUUACUAAUUGUAUGGUUAUGGUAGUCACACAUUGUUUGUCUUAGAUGAAUUUGAAUUUUUAUCACCCAUUGUAGUCCCCCAUAAAAUUGAUAGAGUUAAGUACUUGAGUAUUAUUUGAGUAAAGUUUUGUGCUUGUAGUCAGAAGGAUUUCCUAUUCCUUGCAAUGAAGAAGCAAACUAUAGUCAACAGACUAGAGGAUUCCUUGUGAGGGUUACACAAACUGCCUCUUCUUCUUUCUCUGCUAUUCUAUUCUUACUUGCAAGCUGUUAUCCCACAUCAGAGGUGGCUUAACGUAUUGUAGUUUUUAUAAUGGUCCCCUUCAUCUGGGAUUGAAUUAGUUUCCUCUACUGCUUCCCCCCUACCUGGGGUGGAGUUCUGUGUUUGAGGAGGGAAGGUUUACCCUCUCCUUUCGCAUUCUAGCCCAACUAAAUUUGUUUUUCACACGCCUUUGUACUUAUACUUAAUAGUUAAUAUUCUGAGUUAUUUGCUGAUAAUUGAAAUUCAAGCUUUAAUUUUUUAAAGGUUUUCUUCAGCUUUUAGAUGUAUAUAACAAUUUGUUGGAUUGUUUAGUACUCCUUUCCACCAUCAUGUGUCGGGGAAGUUGGGAGGAUGGGUGCACCCAGUAGAAGAGAAGUUGGUCAUGGUAUGCUUGCGGAGAGAUCCCUUGAACCUAUAUUGCCUUCUGAAGAUUCUUUUCCUUACACUGUACGCGUCGAGAGUACCAUAACUGAAAGCAAUGGCUCGUCGAGGUGAGCAGCUAUUAUAUAGUUAUGGGUUAAAAGAAUUAUAAUUGUUGACUUGAUGUUCUUGUAGAUAGUUCAGAAUAUAGAAAUCUUUUUCAAAUGUCUCUUAGAAUUUUUCUGCACCCAGUAAACAGUAUCAUAUUUAUCUCUAUAUCAAUUUCUUAUCAAGUCACAUGGUUGAAGAAUAAAAUUUAAAUCCUUGUGCCCUCACUUCCAGUAUCUUUAUGUGACAGUAUGGCAUCAGUUUGUGGGGGAUGCUUAGCAUUACAAGAUGCAGGGGUUCCAGUAAAAUGCUCCAUUGCUGGUAUAGCAAUGGGUAUGGUCUUGGACACAAAGGAAUUUGGGGGUGAUGGAACCCCCCUCAUCCUCUCUGACAUAACCGGAUCGGAAGAUGCAUCUGGAGAUAUGGAUUUCAAGGUCUUCCCUGGAAUANNNNNNNNNNNNNNNNNNNNNNNNNNNNNNNNNNNNNNNNNNNNNNNNNNNNNNNNNNNNNNNNNNNNNNNNNNNNNNNNNNNNNNNNNNNNNNNNNNNNNNNNNNNNNNNNNNNNNNNNNNNNNNNNNNNNNNNNNNNNNNNNNNNNNNNNNNNNNNNNNNNNNNNNNNNNNNNNNNNNNNNNNNNNNNNNNNNNNNNNNNNNNNNNNNNNNNNNNNNNAAAUAUGUACAGUCAAGCUAUACUCCGACAUUGCCACUGUGGAUUAUGUCUCCGGAGAAUAUUGACUAAAUAUACUAGUGAUUUCAAUGAUGCAGGUUGCUGGAAAUGACCAUGGUAUAACUGCAUUUCAGAUGGAUAUAAAGGUUAUAUAUCAUAUGCUUAGUAAUACACUCCCUCAACUACAAAAUAUAAGUUCUUUAGACUUUUUUGUGGUCAAUUUGAGACAUUUUUAAAUUCAAAACUGAUAAGAAUUCAUGUAAUAAGUACUACUAAUUACAAGAUUUAUUGUUCUCAAUAUUUUGAAUGAAUCACAUUAAUUUUGAAUUUGAAAAUGUUUCAAUUGAUUGCAAAAAGUCAAAAUUGCUCUUAUAUUUUGGAACUGAGGGAGUAUUUCUUUUGAGAUUAAAGUGUAGGAGUCUGGGCACACUUGCAUGUGUAUGUUUCAUGAUUGGCUCUUGACCAAUGGUCAGAUGUCACUAGUCUCUCCAUAUUUUAUAGCUGCUCAUUCUUACGUGACAGGUAGGAGGAAUUACUUUACCAACUAUGAAUCAGGCUCUCCUACAAGCAAGAGAUGGGAGAAAACAUAUUCUCGGUAAAGUUCACCUACGCACAUUUGCAUCCGCAUAUUAUUAUACGGGUUUAGUGACUUUGUUAUCCUCAAUAAUUUGAUUAAGCCUCCUACCCUAACAUUGACUUCAUGAAUACUGAAGAGCGGGUAGAGAUACCCAUGAAACUUCUAUCUGAACCUGCUAAAUCUCUUGUAGAGGAUUCCACACUUCUAAAACUUGAAAUAGGGAAAAAGUGCAGUGAAGUAAUUUUCAGUGUUCUAAAAAGCGAUUUAGGCCGCGCCUAGGCGCUAGGCCCCCAUGGCGCCUGGCCUAGGUGGCAAAAAAUCCCUCUAGGCGGGUAAUUUAAAUUGUAUUAUUUAAUAGCAAUCUUGUUUAUGAAUAAAACUAAUACGUUAAAGAUAUGUUAGCUAUACUUAGCAUAUGGUAUUUGUCAUUUUUUUUAAGUCCUCAAUUUUGAAUAUUACACAAAUAAAAAUAAUUUCAUAAUUAAUAAUAUCAAAUGUUUCAUUCAAUAAUUUUCAUACUAAUUUUUAAAAAUAACAUUUAUUUAAAUAUAAAAAUAUCUCAAAUUGAUUUUUAAGAAAUUAAUAUUAAUUUGAUUGUGUUUGAACUUUGAACAAUUGCAUGUUUGUCUUUGAACUUUGACAUUGACAAUAUGGAUGUGUUUGAACUUUAAACAAAGGCUUUUAAUAUCUUUAUUAUAGAUUGUUUUGUUUUAUAUUAUUAUUUUGUUAGGAUAAAUGUAAGAUAAAAUAUUAAAAUUGACUUAAAAUAAAAAAAUCCCGCCUCGGCCCCCGGCCUCCCGCCUCCCGCCUCCCGCCUAGCACCUUUUAGAACAUUGCCUUUUAGAACAUUGGUAAUUUCUGUGUUUUGAGGUGUAUACAAACUGAUUAUUUUAUUCAUUGUUCUCUUCCUCUUCAACAUCAAGGAGUUGCCUCUGCUACAGGGACUAUUUAAUAUUUAUCCUCAGUCACAUUGUAGAAUAUAGACAUACUCCAUUAUGCAUUCACUGAAUUCAACUUACCAGCAAGAACACUAAAAUGACCUUGUACAUUUUUCUGAAUUUAGGGGCUGGCUACAUAGAUUGCACAGGUAUAUUACAUAUAGGGGAGCAUCUAUGUAUUAAGUGAUUAGCCGUGUAGGAUGUGACACUGAGUCAUCUUUUAAUUAAAUGCUUUCUGUUUUUAAACAGAUAAAAAAGAAAAGAAAAAGAAAAAGGAGAGUUGUAUGACUUCAAUUAAUGAAUUAGCAAAGCAUUUUAAUUUCUGGUGUCAGCAUAUUGACUUUUCUUUCCUUUUGUGCGCUGGAUUUCUAAGUCCUAAAAACUUUCUUCUCCAACCAUGUCUCUUUUCUACAUUUCAUUUCUCAUCUCUCCGAUCUAUAUCACUCUCUGCUAUAUAUUUAUAAUUCUUUAUACAAGGGCUGAUAGAAUCAUGGAGUCAGAAAUUUAACUGGAGAUUUGGAUCUUCUUGUAUAUUCAUGUACAUUAGUAGUGGUACUCCUAUAUUUUCAAUGGUGAAGGGACUUGUUCUUUCUCUUAUCUUCUUUUGCUUUUCUUCAGGUGAGAUGUUGAAAUGCUCACCGCCUCCUUCAAAGAGGAUUUCUGAGCAUGCCCCACUGAUUCAUGUGAUGAAGGUUUGUUAAUUUUUCAGAUUGGUAUGUGAUUGCUUGUAAUUAGGAUAAAUAUGCUCAUGAACUUUUAUGGUGGUCUCUAGGUUAAACCGGAUAAAGUAAACCUUAUUAUCGGUUCUGGUGGGAAGAAGGUGAAGAGUAUAAUUGAAGAGACCGGUGUAGAAUCUAUUGACACACAAGAUAAUGGAAUAGUAAGCUUAGAGGAAACCUUAUCUUCUAAUGGUGUGUUUGACGCUUUUAUCUCACUACGGUCUUGCAUACUAACACAUAUUUGCAGGUGAAAAUAACUGCAAGAGAUCUGUCAAGCCUAGAAAAGUCUAAAGCCAUUAUUAGUAGUUUGACGAUGGUUCCAGUUGUUGGUGAUAUCUAUAGGUCUCUCUAUUUAAUUUCUCUACAAUUCUAUGUGUGUGUGUGUAUUGUUUAGAAUUGUUAUUUUUGGGAUUUUUUGUAGAUAAUUAGAAGACCUGCACCACCAAGGCACUUAAUAACUAUGACAUGUCUCAAGGUUAUAGUCCAACAAAAAAACAAAAGCCACUGGGGGGAUCCGCAGACACUUCCUUCUGCCAAAAGAAUAGCAAACUCAAUAAUAAAUACUCCCUCCGUUCCAAAUAUAAGAUCAAAAUUGACUUUUCAAAGUCAACUUUAAUGUUUUCAAAUUCAGAAUUGUUUGUUUAAAUCUUGAAAACAAUUAAUCUUGUAGUUAGUAGUAUUAUUAAGAUAGUUUACAAUUUUCAUAAUUGUAUUGUCUAAAACUAAAUUAAUUCAUAUCAAUUUAAAAUUUAAAAAUAUCUUAAGUUGAUUUUAAAAACCCAAUAUUGAUCCUAUAUUAUAUUAUGAAACGAAGAGAGUAUUUGAUUUGUACAAUAGACGUCUCCCUAGUUUCAUCAUUCGAUUAUAACCGGACCGAAUAGGCUAUUCGGUUAUAACCGAAUACCAAAAUAUUCUUAUUUUCAAUAUCCGGACUAAUAACCGAAUUUUGGUAAUAACCGAAUACCGAAUUGUAAAUUCGGUAUUUCGGGUAAUAACCGAACACUGCUAUUAAAAAUAACACCCAAAAAUGAUUCCACAAAAGCAAAAGCAAAAGCAAAAGCAAGUAACUAAAUCUGGGCUGGGAUACAAACAAUUAAUUAGAUACAUAAGGAUAUUUCUACACCAAAACUUUAACAAAGAAAAAGCAACUGCUUCUGGGCACAGAUGAUGACCGAAAAUUAGAAACCAUUUAAUUCAUGGUUUCAUACAUCUUAGUAACAAAUGUGAACUACUUUGAACAGAAAACACAACAACAUUACAAGCAAAUCCAAUUCCAGACACCGUCUCUACGGAGAGAGCCUGUUUAAAAUAGAAAAUAAGAAGAGGAACCAAGAACAGAUCUAUGAUUUUUACCCACGUUGAGUCCUCGAAGGCACUCCAAAUCCAUCGUUUGUCCGUAUUGCGAGAGACGAGAGUGGAUUUAUCGAAGCGGUGGAUAUUAUAAGCCUUCAUCGUCGAUAUUUUGGGGCUAAAAUCGGGGGAUACUAGUGGUGAAAUUUGAGAUCUGAGGGUUCGGUGCUUGUGAUUAGUGGAGAGAGAAAGCGGGAGGAACCGAAGAAGAGAGGGAAGGGGCGAAGGUGCCGGAGGAGAGAUGAGAGAUCGAGAGGGGUGAGUUACUGACUUGUAGCAGGGUUUAUUGUGAAAGGGAGAAUAACCAUUUGGGGGCGCGAAGUCGCAAACACACUGGAGUAGAGAGGAACUAAGAUGGAAUUAGGGUUAUCAAGAUGAGAUCUGCUUUUUUUUUCCAAAAAAAUUGUGGAUCUUUGGGCCCUUGGGCCACUUAUUGGUGAUUCUUGUCCCGUCCAAAAGAAUUGGCCCGUCCAAAUUUAAUACCUUAUUUGACUUAUCAGGCCCAUCAUACAAAUAUUAAAUUCCUUUUUUUAAUGAAUUAUGUUCGGUUAUUCGUGUAACCGAAUAGGAUGAUUUUAAUAACCGGACCCGAAUACCGAAUAAGAAUUCGGAUAUAACCAAAUUACAAAAAAUAACCGAAUUAUCAAGAAAUUUCGGUUAAAAAAAUUCGGUUCGAUUCGGUUAUAUCCGUUUUUUGCUCAGUCCUAUCCCUAGCCUCAAAAUAUCUGCAAUUCCUUCCCUCCAGAGCACCUACCAAAGGCAAUGAGGAUUUAUAUCCCAGUUAGAAUGAAUCCUCUUAUGGACUUUAGCACCUUUCCCAGCACAAAAUACCCCCCCCACCNNNNNNNNNNNNNNNNNNNNNNNNNNNNNNNNNNNNNNNNNNNNNNNNNNNNNNNNNNNNNNNNNNNNNNNNNNNNNNNNNNNNNNNNNNNNNNNNNNNNNNNNNNNNNNNNNNNNNNNNNNNNNNNNNNNNNNNNNNNNNNNNNNNNNNNNNNNNNNNNNNNNNNNNNNNNNNNNNNNNNNNNNNNNNNNNNNNNNNNNNNNNNNNNNNNNNNNNNNNNNNNNNNNNNNNNNNNNNNNNNNNNNNNNNNNNNNNNNNNNNNNNNNNNNNNNNNNNNNNNNNNNNNNNNNNNNNNNNNNNNNNNNNNNNNNNNNNNNNNNNNNNNNNNNNNNNNNNNNNNNNNNNNNNNNNNNNNNNNNNNNNNNNNNNNNNNNNNNNNNNNNNNNNNNNNNNNNNAAAAAUUAAAUAAAAGACCAUAAACCACAAUAGAUUAACCACCUCACAGUGAAGGAGCAAGUGAUCGCUGACUCACAAUUUUUCCUGCACAUAUAACACAAAUUGAUCACGAUCUUCCACCGCUUCCAUGAGCUUGUAUCAGUAUGCUCUUAAUGCCACUGUCCACGUGGAAAAGGUCCACGUGAUGGUUUCAUUGUUGUUCCGUGAUUUCUAAAAUUCAAAUAGUAUUUUGCUAUUCUCCUAUAAAUAGGAUGCUUAGUUUAGAAAUAAAAAUUACACCAGAAUCAGAGAAUUUUUCUUUUAUAAUAUUGAGCGUAUUUUUUUAGAGUUUAAGAAAGUUUUGAGUGUAGAAAACAGUACAAGUUUUCUUCAAGAAUAUCCCCGCCCUACCAGUCAGAAAUAUUCUCCUUUUAAGGUAAGGGAUAUUAUUUUUGUUCAAUAUUCGUAAGAAAUAAUAUUUUAUUCCAUACUCUGUAUAUUAUUUCGUUUCGUAUUCCUAAUUCUACACUCAUGUUGAUAAGUAUUGCUUCUAUACUCCUUGAAAUUAGUUUAUAUCACUUUCUUGCGAGCUUUUUAGAUAAACAAAACUGAUUUUCAUGAUGAGUAGAUGCUCAUCAGUAUUUUCAGGAUUCAUAUGCAUUUGAAGUGGCCUAGUAAUGAUCUACUAAGUUGUUAUAAAAGUUGUAGAAGAAUACAUGACUCUGUGAUGUCUUUUAAAUCAGGAACUGUGAAAUCAAAUCUAUAGCUCCUUAUGGAGCUUUUGUUGAGAUAGCACCUGGCCGAGAGGUAUGUUUCUCAUUCAAGUUCCACAAAGUAAAUAUGAAUAUGUUUACAUGGUUUAAUAUUGUUUAUACCCGCUUUGAAAUGACUAGAAAAUGUAUCUGCUUGAAGGUUUUUCAUGCCUACACACUUUCAAGUUUCACCUCUCAAAUUUAUAAAACAAAUCUCAAUUUUUUCAACUUAAUAGGAUAAGAACACCAAGUACUGGUAUUCUUUUCUCUUUUUUUUUACACAUCAAUAGAAUAUAUUUUUGUCUAGGGGUUGGGUGAUAGCACAUUUGAAAAUUAAAAAGUUCAAAGUUACCACAGUUUUUCAAUGUCGCUGCAGGGACUUUGCCAUAUUAGUGAGUUGAGCUCAGAUUGGCUGGCAAAGACGGAGGACGUAAGACAAUUAAUAUAAAAUAUAUAGCCUUUUGUUUUUCAAUCUAUUUUUGUGGGGAUCUUGGCAAUUUAAUUCUUUUUUAUUUCUUCGAAGCAGGCUUUUAAGGUUGGAGAUUGUGUUGAUGUCAAGCUCAUUGAGGUCAGAAGCUUGUUAUCCCUUCAUAGAUUAUAACAACAUGAAUAUAUUCAAGUAUUGAUAUUAUGUAUAAUGAAAUGUUGGCCGGUCUUUAUUUUGUAAUAGUUAUAAUCUGCUGUUCUAGAAGCUACCUUACUUCUAGAGAUAGCAUACUCCUUGAUUAGUUUUUCAGAAACGUGCGCCUGUUUGCACACUGAACCAGCGAAUGCUAGGGGAUAACAAAACAUAUUUAUGAAGACCGUGGUUUUUGGAACAUUAUCAGAAUAAAUGAAAAGCGAAAUGAAGCAUGUUCCUUAUCUCCGAGUGUCGAGCUUAUGUAUAUUUUCAUUUCCUCAAGGCUGACCUUCAUCGAGGAUUUUUAGUAUUUUCCACUUAUUUCUUCUUUUUGGAGACUUCUCUCCUCCCUCACCGUUUAUCCUAUCUUCUCUCUAUAGAACUUAUUCUUUUAUCUGAUUAAAGGUGUGAAGCAGUCACAGUGGAUUGCUUUUUCCUACAUUGUUCAUUUGCUGAAUGAGCUUUGUCUGAGUUUUGUGAUAUUGCUUAGUCUGCAUAUGGCUGACAGCCAUCUGGCAGGCCAUCCCAAGUGCCCAACGCCCAAGUUGGUGUGGCAGAGGGUUAUUUUCCUUCUUUUUUCUUUGUUAUGGUAACUUAGUUAUAUAGAAAGCAAUGUCCUCUUCUUUCUUGACAAUCGGAAUAAUUUGCAGCCUUUGAGGUUCUAUUGUCAAUUGCAUCACAACUUCAUGUCAGUUUUGAUGUUGGAUAAUUUUAUCAUUAGAUGAUAGAUCCAAGCAAUUGUUCUGAUUUCAUCUUUCAAUUUUACUGCAUUAUUAAGAAACUCUAAUUGCACAGAAGUUAUUAUAGUGCAUUCAUUUGCUCUAGUAGGAUGGGCCAGAAUUGUUCUAUACUGUCCAUGAUUAUUGGUGUACCAAUGUGACGCUUAUGUGCCGUAUGUAUCAAAUAUAUAUGUAUGUAAAUUAUUGUUUCUAAUUAGAUAAUUAUGCAUACUGCUAUUCAAAUUAUCGAGGCAUUGUAAUAUCUGUUGACGGUAUAUUUAAUGAUUUCUAUGAAAGUAUGAUAAGUAUUUGUAUGAUCUUUGAAGACUUUGUUCUUAACGGUUAUUACUGUCAUGAUUAUACUUAUGGUAGAAGUAAUAGGGAUCUCUUGAUAAUGAUUUGAUUAUUGUUAUAAUUACUCUUUAGCUUGUGGACUUGUAACUCUCUUGUCAAGUUUCUGAUAAUUUUUUAGAGAUAAAUUAUCUUGGUGAUAUUAUCUGGUUUAGACAUCCUGAUUUCUAUAUAAACUUGUCAUUAAAACUAAAAGCAUGUUUUUCAGAUCAAUGAAAAGGGACAACUUCGCCUAAGCCGGAGGGCACUGCUUCCAGAUCCAAAUCCAGAAAAUUCCAAUGAAAAACAAAGUACAAGUAACCUUACCAAGGAUAGUGCAGCGUCGCAAAAAGGUCCUGAUAAAAGCAAACCCAAGAAAGUAUUGAGUACUCCGAAGGAUGGUUUAGCAGAAAGAAACACUGAACAGCCCAAGGGAAGAAGUGUUUAUGUGAAUCCCAUAAACUCCCCUAAAAGCAAGUCAGCUGAAAAUUCUCUCCCAGAGAAUAAGGUUGUUAAAAAAUUAGGCAGUCCUGCUAAAGAUGGACCCUAUAUUAACAAAGAUGGGACAAAGGAUAGUAGCAGUAAACCAGGUAUCAGCAUUUCUGGCAAAAAUGAAAGUGCAUUAAUAAAUGGAGAGGCCAAUGUUGUAUAGCAAAUCUGCAUAUGUUUUAAGUCGGAUCAACUAGCGAGUUAUUUCGGUCAGAAAGAUGGCAGUUGAUCACUUAAUACUGCACCUCGAAUGGAACAAAGGUACGUAUUGCAUUUCUCAGUUGUGCUCUAUGGUUUACUUUUAUUUUAUUAUUGAGCAUCAUAAGAAACAUUAUGAAUUUGAAUCAUCAUAGGAAUUGUAAAUGGUGGGCUAAGUUUCGUCUUGGCUUCUAGUUUUGGUUAUACUUAUACAAAGCAGGUGGCUCAAAUUUAAACUAUGGUUUGCUUUAUACCUUGUUAUUAGUUCAUAUUCUAAAAAUGUAGAUAGCAAAAGUAAAUUAUAACUUUGUUGGUCGUUGAGAAGCUCUCACUUGUUCUACUCUUCAGGUAGAGUUAGUGUGCUUAACCUGUUAAAUUCUGGGUUAGUGAUCUAAUGUUAUGCUUAAAUUAAUAUUAUCAGAUUUCUCAUAAACAAGGAUUCAAGCCCAUACUUUUUCCCUGUUUAUCUUGAUUUUUAUCUUUUCUGUCGUCAAGGAAGACUAUCAAAUACGAACAGAAAUUUAGUCAUCGACUUAGUCUUGACAAUUAUGAUGGUAGCUCCUUUAGCUAAUCAAGAUGUGUGGGAAGCCAAAUAAUCCAUGUUUGACCUGUGAAAGCUUUAAUGUUUCGGGUUGCCCAGGACAAAAAUAUCCUUGUCAAUAUUGAUUAUUCUUAUAUCCAAAGAAUUCCUUAGCCAUCUUGAAUUUUCCAUUUUGGUUCAUUCAGAAGCUCGAACUGAGAAGGAUAGAUUGGCUUAUACUCUUUUUUCACAGGUCAUCAUACUGGCUUACCAAGGCUUAAGAGCAACUAUGGUGUAUAGAGGCCAACUGGGAGAAUGGGAAAGAUAACUCUGUUGCGUCGUGUCUUGUCAUACAGCGAGGCUAACAAUCAAAGGUGAUCAGAUGGUCUAAUACAAGUGUUGCUUAUUCCAUUAGGAUUUUCCAUUUUUGUUCUCGAAUGAGAUUGAGCACUUUAAAGUUGUGGUGGUUUACCAAGUGCUGCUUCAUAGUUUUUUCCCUCCCCCUAAUUUUUCGUAAAAGAAUGCUAUAUUCUCUUCCAGAUGAGUUGAUCAUUGUUUUGUAAUGUUUGUAGUGUAUAACUUGGAUGUAAAGCACCAGUUUCCAUUAACAUCAAGAUAGCAGCGGUUGUAUUUGGAGACAUAAUUUACAAGAUUUUAUAUAUACUGGCCAGUGGCCACACAAGUCAAGUCCUUCCCCCAAAACCUUAUACUGAAGUCGAGUAGGCAACGGAACUUUUAAUACCAAUAUUAUAACCAUGUUCUCUUUAUCAUGAAAAAUUCGAAUUUGAGCUUGAACAUUUAAGCAGACAGAGUUAAAAAUAACGAACUGAGUUUCGACAUAUGUUAUUCAGCUUGCGCUGAAUUAUUGCACCCUUCGAAGUCUAGGCCUGUGCAAAAAAUAAAAAAUGGGUGCAACCGGUAGUAUUUUUCUGAAAUCGGUGAUACCGGUUCGGUAAUUUCUUGAACUGGAGGUAAUUUUUUUUUAUAUUUACCGUCGGGAUUGGGAAAGAUAUUUAUUUUUGUAACGGUAAUUUUGUGUGUUAUUUACCGAUGCAUCGGGAUCAGGAACGGUAUUCACAUUAUUAUGUAUGGUAUGUAUUUUUAUUUUUUAUUAUUAGUAGUUUAUUUUUUUGGUUAAUUGAUUAAUAAAAUAUCGACACACAGGUUGGGAGGUGAUAUCUCUCUACUUGUCAAUUGAUCAAUUUAUCAUGAAGUUAAUUUUAUAGUAACCGAAUUCCUCUAAAAUCUUCUCUCUCUAAGCCUUCCUAACUUCUCAAUUCUUGAUCUCUCAUUUUUUCUCUUUUUCUUUCUAAAACAUUUGUGCUUCUUCUUAACUCUCCACCAUUUUGUAGAUUAAUAUUAACACACACAUAUAUACAUAUAUAUAGAGAGGGAAUAAUGGAUGAUACUUGAGAUUGGAGAGUUCAUGAAAUAACUCGGGUUAAAUCUCAAGUUCAGAAUAAAUCUUGGAUCAAAUCUUAAUUUUUUCCAUAUUUUUCGAUGUGAGAUUGGGGUGUUAUAAACUCUCUCACUUAAAUUUUUGACGUCUUCGUCAAAACCGAUCACACACAGUUCACAUCUCUCUAGCCAUUGUACUUGGGUCAAAUUCUGAGUCCGGAACAAAUAUUAGAUCAAAUCACAAGUUCGAAUCAAAUCAAAUAUAUCCAAAUAAGGCUUUAAAUCACCGAUCCAAUAAUAUCUUCUUGAUUCAUUUUAUCUCAUCACAGACUCACCCAAAAGGUUAUGACUGAAAGUAUUAUUAGUUUCUUAAUUCCUCUUAUAUGUGUGACUGAGAUGUUACAGUCCAUAAAGCAAUAUCGUGCCAUGAUUUAUUCAUUAAGCAGUUUGAAUAAGAUUUCUUCGUUAAGCACUUUGAAUCACGGAAGAUUAAAAUUGGGGGUUUUAGAUAUGCAUGUGUUUCAAUUUUUUGUGUUCAUGAGUUUGUUUUUCUUCUACUUUAAACUAUAAUUUGGAUUGCAUGGUAUCAAGUAUAGUUUCACUAGAACACAAUAAAAAAAUGAAAAUUUAUAAAAUAAACAUUGGUAUAAACGGUAAAUAACCGAAUUAUAUUUGUAUUGAAACGGUACAAAAUACGAGAUACUUUGAUACCGAUAUCGAUAUGCCAUUUUUAAUAAAAUCGAUAACCGAUUCAAACUAAAUCGAACAACUUGGAUAGACCUAAGUAUACGAAUUGCUAGGAUGGGAGAUUUGUUAGUUGUCAUAUUUCACAAUUACAACGUACUUACAAAAUACUCCAAUUUUUAUUUUUUUUUGAUAAUUUAACACACAUCCUCCUUAACCACGGCUAAGAAUUGAACCCCAACUUUAUGAUUAAUAUGAGUUGGGUCAUUAAUUCACAAUAUAAAACUUGCCAAGUUAAUUCUUACAUUAAAAAAACUGUUUUAUUAUUUUAUCAAAUGUUAAUUAUAUUGUAUUUUAACUCUUACCUAUUUACCUAUUCUCAUAUUUAAAAUUGAUAUGUAUUCACUUAAUUUUAGAUAAUAGUAUACAAAUUGUAAACUAUCAAAAAAUACUACUAUUUACGAAAAAAAUUAUUUUACAAAUUAAUUUUGAAAAUUUAAAAAUUAUCUUUUAUAUAUAUCAAGCAUGAGAAAAUUUUGUAUUCUCACUUUUGUCUCGAAUAACAUUAUUUUUUGGUAAAAUUUUUAAAUGUCAAUACCUUAAUAUAAUACACUUCUAUUUUAAUAAUAAUUUUUUACUUAAUAAUUUUAUAAGAGUAUUAGUAUUAAGAAAAUCAUCACAAACAUUCAACUCAAUGAGCACUAAUGACUAUUCAAUGAGUGAUAUUUUAUUCAUUUCAAAUUAUAAGAUUAAUAUUAAAAUUUUAAUUUAAUUUGUGAUAUUUUUAAAUUUUAAAUUAAAAUAAUAUAUUAGAAUUAUAAAAUAAUAAAAUUUAUAUAAAAAAAAUAUUAAAAUAAUUUAUAAUAUUAAUUAUCAUAAUGAUUAAAGUAAAAGAAUUUAAAAUGAUAUUUUUAUAUAAUCACGUGUAUCCUGUAGGUAGUGAUCAUACGGAAAUAUCAGUUCUAUUAUUAUGUACCAAGUACUCCCAAGCCCUCACUCACUCCCGCCACUUUUUUCUUUCUCGGGCCUCUAUCUCCUCCGUUCAGCAUAGUCUCUCUCCGGCUUAGGGUUUGUGUAAAGUGCGAAAAAAUGUUGUGGGUAGACAAGUACAGACCGAAAGCCCUAGACAAGGUCAUAGUUCACGAAGAUGUCGCCCAAAAUCUCAAGAAAUUGGUAAUUACUUUUCCCCUGAAUCCCUUCUCAUUAUAUGUGUGUAGCCAAUACUUUAAAUCUUGGGUUUUGAUGUUGGCUCAUUAUUUCAUGUAUUUACAGGUCACUGAGCAAGACUGCCCACAUUUGUUGUUCUAUGGUCCACCCGGGUCAGGCAAGAAAACCCUAAUCAUGGCAUUACUCAGACAGAUGUUUGGAGCCAGUGUUGAAAAGGUCUAUCUUUGUAAAUUUCCUUUUCUUUUCAUUUAUUAUAAAAUUUAAGCUGGAAAUUUGUGUUGAUCCAUUCUUAAAAGGAAAAAUAAUAACUUGGUAAUUUCUGUGCAGGUGAAGGUUGAGAAUAAGACCUGGAAAGUUGAUGUAAGUUUGCUUCUAUGUUAUUCCUGAUUAUGUUUGCAUUUUUUUCUUUUAUAUUUACACUGGUUUGGUUGAGUGAGAAGGGAAACAGGAAAAGAAAGACUAACGAGUAAAUCAGAAUCAAAAUGAAAAGUUUUUCUAUCAUUUUAUGGGAAUCUAGACAAAAAGUAAAUCAACAAGCAGAUUUAAGAGUUUUUCAUUUGUUUCCCCUCAUAUGUACUUUUCCAAUCACAUUUUUCAUGAUAACGAAAUUCGGAAAAAGUGGGAUCCUUGAGUUUCUUUUUCCUAUAUAUAUGUACCCAAAAAAAGUAACAUGUCCUAUAAACAGGAAUCAGGGGAAUAAAGAGAAAAAAGGUCAAAAAGAUUUUACUUGCAUUAUUAUUAGUGAUGAGAACUUAUAAAAUCAACCAUCCUUUGCUUAGAGUUUGGUUUACCCAAUGCCAGUCAAUAUGUUAAAAGUAGCGUGUACCCUAAACUGAUGUUUGGUAUGACACAAUGACUUUGAUUUUUUUAGCAUUGCCUUAAGCUCACGACUGAUUUAGUCCUUUGUACCAAUUUAUCAUUGUUUAGCCAUUUAAUUUGUUUAUAUCAAUGGUUUCUUUCAGGCUGGAACUAGAACUAUUGAUCUGGAGCUUACCACGUUAUCUAGCACCCACCAUGUGGAACUGAAUCCCAGUGAUGCAGGCUUUCAGGAUAGAUACAUAGUUCAAGAGAUAAUCAAAGAAAUGGCGAAGAACAGGCCAAUUGACACCAAAGGAAAUAAGGGAUUUAAAGGUAAUUUCGCUAAUUGUCUUAUCUAUUAGUUAAUUGCUUUUAUAAACACAGACUAUUUUGUGUAAUGUGCUUUGAAGUUUUACAUAUGAUACAAAGAAACAAACUAGAAUAUCUCACAUCACUAUAGAUUAAUCUAGGGAAAUAUAGUAGAUAAGAUACAAGAAGAAAUCCUAUUGGCAUUAUUAAGUUCUUUACUUAACAGUGUAAAUAAAUAAAUAUGCUUGACAUGAAAAUACAUUAUGUAUAUAUGAAUAUCAAUUGUUCAAAGUUCAAACACAAACUAAUUAAUAUUAAUUUCUUAAAAAUAAAUUUGAGAUAUUUUUAAAUUUAAAUAAAUGUUAUUUUUAAAAAUAAGUGUGAAGUUUGUUGAAUGAGCCAUUUGAUAUUAUUAAUUAUGAAAUUAUUUUUAUUUGUGUAAUCUUAAAAAUUGAGGAUUUGAAGAAAAUGACAAAUAUCAUAUGCUAAGUAUGACUAACAUAUUUUUAACGUAUUAGUUUUAUUUAUAAACAAAAUUGCUAUUAAAUAAUAAAAUUUAAAUUGUCCGUUUAGCCCGCCUAGAGGGAUUUUUUGCCGCCUAGACAAGGCGCCAGAGGGCCUAGCGGCCGCCUAGGUCGUUUUUUAGAACACUGUGUUUCACUUGAUCUGUGUUUAUUGUUUAUAUGUACAAAAAAAGUUUCAUUUGAUCUUUUCUAUGAAACUAUGCAACGAGAUGUUAUUUAAUUUAUUCUACUUUUUUUAAGGUCGAAGAGGCUUAUUAAACUCCAAUAGCUCAUUGGACCAGAGAAAUGUUUAUUUUAAAUAUUUUCCCUACAUUUCAACAUUAGAGGUACAUUUUGACCUUUUAACUCAAUUUGAGAAAUUCUAAAAUUUAAAAUUGAUAUGAAUUAAUUUAAGAUUUGAAAGUAACAAAUAUGGUUACUAAUAUAACUUUUUAGCUGGUAUACAGACUACAGUAGUUAUAUUUGUUUGCACUAAAAUUUAAUAAAUUCGUAUCAAUUUUGAAUUUUUAUAAAGACAAGUCAAAUUCUAAUUUUUAUAAGAGUUUGAGGAUUGUUUUUGAUGUCCUUUUUUUUUGGGUUGAGAAAUUGCUGGGAGGAAAAACCCUGUGUAUUGCUUUUCCACGCUGACGAGUUGUUUUGCUAUAAAAUGUCAGUACUAGUGCUCAAUGAGGUUGACAAACUCUCGAGAGAAGCCCAACAUUCUCUGCGAAGAACAAUGGAGAAAUAUAGUGCAUCAUGCCGCCUUAUUCUAUGCUGCAAUAGUUCCUCGAAGGUGACUGAAGCAGUCCGUUCUCGCUGUCUGAAUGUGCGAAUAAGUGCUCCAAAAGAAGAAGAGGUUAGUGUUAUUUUGCAUCCUUUUAUAGUUGGGGAAAACAAAUCAUGUUUAAUUCAUUUAUAUAAUAAUUGAAAGAACUAUGUAGUAUAUGCCAAUGUUCGAAAAAGCUAAAAUCGGUACGAGGCGUUUUUCGCUGGGCUAUGCGAGGCGUAAGCCUCGAGGCGGAGCGAGGCGGAAGCCUUGAUUUAAAGACCUAAAAGUCUCCAAAAAAUUAUGAAAAAAUACUAAUAAAACCAUAAAAUAAUUCAUCAUUACAAUUAAGGUCAUAGAAGAUAUAAAUAACCAACGUCACAGUAAUGUAUCAUUACAAAACAUCAAAACAACAUAAUAUCAUCAAGUACUUAUAUAGUGAUCAUCCAUCACUAUGUAAGUAAUGUAUCAUUUGUAUCUAGCGGCUUGAAUAAUGGAUCAAAUCCUAGAAGUUAAAAAACCAAAUAUAAGAAUACAAUAUAUGUUAAUCACAACAUAUAUAAAAUAUAUGUUAAUAUAUCAUAUAUGUUAAUAUAUAACAAAUAUAUGGUAAUAAGUUAAAAAAACCUUAACAGAAAUUAAAAUUUUUCAACAGAAAUUAAAAAAUCUUAACAUAAAUUAACAGAGGACUACACUGUUACUUAGCAAACAGAAAAAAAGAAGCAGCUUAAAACAGAGAGUCGAAGUCUGUCGAAGCUGAAAAAGAAGAAGAAAAAAAGAAGAAGACAGUCGAAGUCGGUCGAACUGUCGAAGAAGAAGUCGUCGAAGACUCGAAGAAGAAGAGAAGAAGAAGUCGCAGAGAAAGUCGACAAAGGAAGAAAAGAAAGAAGAAGAAGAUACCUGAAGAAGUCGCAGAGGAAGUCGAAGAAGUCGCAAAGGAAAACUGAAGAAGUCGUCGAAGCCCAAUAAAGCCAAAUCGGUAAGUGAAGUCAGAUAGUUAGAGUUUUUAAAGCCAAAUCGAGGCGCAGGCCUCGCGACGCCUUGAGGCGCACUGCCACGAGGCGUUAGCCUCAACCGAAAAAGGCGCACGUUGCUAGAAUUCCAGAAUAGGCGUACGCCUCGCCUCAACCUUCUUCCGCCUCGCUACGAGGCGCGCCUCGAGGCGCACGUCUCGAGCGCUAUUUCGAACAUUGGUAUAUGCAAUCAGUUUUGAAUUGUUUUACAUGAAUUAACUGAUUCAUGCUAGAGGUGGUAGUUUAUAAUUUUUCACUUGCUUAAUGAUUGAGGUAGAAAGUUUACCGUUUCUCACUUGCCCUCUAGUAUAGUUGGUAAACAUACAUAAACAUUGGUUUCAAAAACCAUAGAAAAGUGUAAAAAGCUUCAUGUAAUCUCUUUUUUAAAGUAUAUUUAUAUAAUAUCUUUUUGCUAGAUUGCUAAAGUUUUGGAAUUCAUUGCCAAGAAAGAAGGGCUGCAACUUCCAUCUGGAUUUACUUCCCGCAUCGCAGAAAAAUCAAAUCGAAGUUUGAGGAGGGCUAUAUUGUCAUUUGAGACUUGCCGGGUCCAACAGUUAAGCUACAUAAUACUCUUGGUUGAUGCUUUAGAAGUGCUAUACAAGUUCUCUCUUGCAGUGCUUUUAUAUAUUUUAUUUUGUACGACAUUUUUUAUAAAGCUUUACUCAUUUUGUCUUUUAGGUAUCCUUUUACAAACAAUCAAUUAAUACCCCCAAUGGAUUGGGAGGUAUAUGUAUCAGAAAUAGCAUCAGACAUUAUGAAGGAGCAAAGCCCUAAAAGGUUAGGCACUGAUCAAUCCUUCUUCAAGUGUGUUUCCAAAGAGCAUUGACACUAUAAAAAGGUUCAUAAAUAAAAUUUAGCAAAAAGAAAUCAUUAUAGAAAGGUUCAUAUUUCCUCUCUUUUUUUUACAAGUAAAUAUGGAGUAGCCUGAUUUUUCUCUCCCUUGCCCUGUUGGGUGAUUUAUCUGGACAUGUAUCAUUUGAAGCUUGUCCAUAAAGAUGAUAUUUUUUAAUGUUAAAUUAGUUAAAAUAGACACUGAUAAUAGAGAAGGUGAGGAUAGAGAUGAAGUGAAAGUAGAACAUUAAGAGUCUGAGAGGGGAGCAAGAGCAGAGCUGUUAAGAGACUAGAGAGUAGAAAACUAGAGAUGUGAAGCAUCAUGAUUACAGGACUCCAAUAUUUCUGAACUCUAUUCAUAUAUAUGUUGCCCUGCUUCACAAUUUUCAAACCUCCUACUUUUGGUUUAAAAGAAAACGUAGGAAAGAUUCGAAAGUCUUAACACACUUUCUCGAGCAUGUUAAGUUGUUAGCACAAGUGCCUGAAUGUUAUUCUUGAGAUCAUCACUGAAUUAUAUAUAAUAAUGGCUAAAGCAUGUCAUUUGAUCUAGUUUUUUUUGGCAGAUCUGGCUGUUUUGGCAUCACUUAUAUUUAGCCCAUACUACAACCCAUGGACCAUAAGGUGGUGGACAUAUUCAAAAAAUAAGAAAAUUCUUAGCAUUCCAUUUGUUCCCAACAAAUAUAUGAAUAUACGACCAAAUUAAUGAUCCUAAAUUGACAUUUUGUUGAUCAAGCCUAAAAAAGCUCACAUCACUCAAGCAUGCCCUACUGUAACUUGGAUGACUGGAAUGGACCUUGCCAGUGAUACUAUGAUACUGAGACAAAACAAUUCACAGCCCUUUAAUUAUUUGACUAUAGUAGAUCUUAAAGGUGUCCCAUGAACUACCAGACAAUUGAAAAUUCUGCUACUUUUCCUGUAGUCCGUUACUUAAUUUCUCACAUCUUUAAAAAUAAUAAUAAUAUAAUAAUAAUAAAAUCUCAAAAAUCUUUAAUCUUUUCUAUAAAAAAAUCUUUCAGUUGAGUUAAUUGCAUAUUUCAGACUUUCAUCAAAGGACUUGUCAACUAUUGAAGUACCAGCAGUAAAUUUAUCCAUGUCUCACAUUUUAAACAAUUGAUCCAUGUAUUGUUACUUUAAUGUUGUAAGUGCAUCCUACUUCUAAUUUGCUUACUAAACACACAUUAUGUUACUAUAGGUUGUUCCAGGUUCGGGGCAAGGUGUAUGAGUUACUCAGUAAUUGCAUUCCACCGGAAAUUAUUUUGAAGGUUAUCAGACUUCUAUUGUUUUUCUAUGUUUUGAUCUUUUUCUGUUCUUGUUUUCCUUGUAAAAUAGUAAUUUACUAAAACCUAAAUGUCCCCUUGCUGUUGGUUUCAGAGGCUGCUUUACGAGUUAUUGAAGAAACUGGAUUCUGAACUGAAGCAUGAGGUUUGCCAUUGGGCUGCAUAUUAUGUAAGUUAAUAUUGUGAUCUGCCUCAGUUCAAUACCUGUUUUCAUAUCAUCUUAUAAACCUCAUCUUUUUCACAUUCAUAGCAUAGCCAAUUGACUAAGAUGGCUAGAUCCAAAACUUGGCUAUUUCUUGGUCUUAAUCAUUUUCAUUGGGUGAAAUUAGAGUAUUUUUCUUACAAAUGUUGCUAGGACGAUUUAGCCAGCAUUGAGCCCUAAUAUUAAUACUGCUGCUGAAUUUUGCGGACGAAGAUUGAUUAUCCUGCAUGCAUCUGCAAUGCAAGCCACCCUAAAGUGCAGGUGUUGGCACAUUCUUUGCCUGGUAUUGACAGUAGAAACUUAAUUACUUCAGUUUUUUGGAAAGGAAAAGAAGAAAAGGGGAGAUAUAUUGAUAUUUACUUCUUUUGUUCCAAUUAACUUGACUAUAUUAGGCUUAUUAGCCUCAUGAGUUAUGAGUUAUGCUUGAAAACCUAAGAGGGAGUUAAAAUUGUGGACCCCACCAUUCCACAUAAAGACCAAAAGUUCCUUUGAUUUACUUUUGGGUACAAGGGGAAGAAAAAAAAAAGUAAAGAAAAUUAGAGUUGAUAAUAAUUAUCUUUCUUAAACUAGGCGCCAAGUUAAGAGUGUAUACUAAAAGGGGACAGGAGGGAGUCACAAAUACUCGUAAGAUUAUAGUUUUUGUAUUUUACUGGGUAUUGAAUACAUUCACAUCUAUUGCUUGGAAUCACAAAUCUUUGAUGCUGAUAUCGAAUCUUGUACUUCUUGUUGAGUGCAGGAACAUAGGAUGCGUCUUGGACAGAAGGCCAUAUUUCACAUUGAAGGUACCACAUUAUUUUUAUGAAAUCUUCUAAUAGUUAGUUUGCCAGAUAUAGGCACACUAUUCAAGGUCAACAAAAAAAAUUAAAUUGUUCCAGUUGAACCUUUUUCCCCCCUUCCACCCUUGGAAUUCAGCAGGUUAUUUCCUUAAUACUUAGGCAUCCAGCUAGGGUUUUUUAACUUCUCUGAACAUGUACAAAAACUGCGAUUGGAGACUGGUAGAAGAUUAGUUGAAUGUUCUUCAAGGGUUUGUAUACCUCCGUUUCCCAAGAAAAUACAUGGUAGCCAUAUAGAAACUGAUAUUGAAAAACAGUGGUUGUUGUGAUAUGUAGCGGACCGAAGAUGACGCAUGCCAAGAAAUAGUAAUGUGAUUAUGUGAAGUUCCCACUUUGUUAACUGAUGCAUGAAUACUCCAUUCCCAUUUUCAAAUAAAACCAAAAGAGAUUAUAUUGCAGCCUUAAACAAAGGAUUGGUUUGAAGUGCAUAUUCGUAAAACAAUGGACUAUACUAUUUCAAUCUCGAGCUAUUUACAAGUUGUCAUCUAAAAAAGCACCCUUAUUUACAUUACAUCCCAUCUUUUUUCUGUUGUUUAUCGAGGAAAGGUACAUAAAAAGUCAAUUGAGUGGCUUUUUCUCCCAUUUUGCUGUUUUUCUUCUUAUUCCCCCCGCGUUUUUCUGCAAGUCUUUCCUUAAUAGAGGUGCAUCCAAUAAAUUCAGUGUGAUUCAUCUAUUGAGAAACCCUAAAUCUAAUCAUUUGGGUGACGACUUUACUUGUUUCCUUAGCCCCAUUAGUUGAUGUGCCCUUUGGAAAUAUUUACACGUCCCAUAAGCAUUAGCACCUUUCAUUAAUAGCGCUAUUAUAUGUUUCAUCAUUACUGAAUUUCCAUAGAAGCGCGCUCUACACAUUGAGGGGCUUAGCUAUUAGUAAUUCUCAAAGUCAGCCUAUAAGUAGCAGAACUCCAUCUUCAUCUUCCCCAUGAAAUGUGGUCCUUUUUAAUUUAGCCAUACCUGCAGGGUUUACCAUGUUGUCCCCAAAUUUUUGGUGGUGCUUUGGCCUCGGAUUUUUGUUACAGAUCUCUUUUUGGGUGAUUAUUUUGUCUCAAUCCUCAACCAUGGAUAUGCGCUCUUUAUACACGUAUGCUGUCUCGAGUUGCAUGUAGGACUGAUGAAGAUCUUUGAAGUCGCAUGGCCAUAAGCCUUGGCAUAUUUAGGAAUCUUGAGUUUGUAUUGUAGCGCUUGUCCUAUGAUCUGCCACAUGUCCUUGGGACACAUCAUCGUAGCUUUAUUCUUUGCAUCACUUGCAUGUUCUUUGCUUGAACAUACAUAGCGUAUAUAUGUUUCCAUGGCAUGUCGAUGUUUCUUAAGACUUUUGUUUCUCUCUCUAAUCUACCAAUUUUUUUUCUUCUUUAUAUUCUAAGUUUUAAAUUGUUAUAUUUUCACUAUUAAAGACAUCACUAAAAUGAAAUCAGAAAAUGGAUAUUAUUCUUGGAGCUGGCUGGAUUUACAAGCUUUUUAAUGUUUUGUCCUUUGGUCGACUCUUCAGCAUUUGUAGCCAAGUUCAUGAGCAUUUAUAAGGGUUUCCUUAUUGCAACAUUCGGCUGAGGAGAGGUGUAACCUGUCGGUGCAGCAAGUCGUCAUCUUAUGAGCCAUGGGCUUUCCAGGUCCAUUUGCUAAGAAUGUCAUCUUGUGCUACAUCAUCGGGGUGGUGAACUUGAAAUUUGGCUGAUACAAUUUGGUUAUUGUUGUUGAUGAAUUAGUUUCUUAUUUCAUUUUUUACUCCUGUUUUUUCUUUAUGGUCACUGUUUUAAGGAGUUGUCUCUCUGGUAUACUGUUUGGUCCACAAGAGGAAGAGUAAUACAAGUCUAUUUCAACGAGACGAGAGUACUUGGCUAUUUAAAUGACUUCAUAAAAUUGGACAUUGCUAGUGUUUUGAUAAGAAUGUGUAAUAAAGAGCCAAUGGAGGUUCUCUAUGCUCUUUUUAAAAAUAGAUAUUAAAUGUAAUAUCUGAAUAUAAUAUUUUACUAAUUUUUUUCUUCAAGUUUAUAUAAAUUUACGGUGGGGAUAAAAUUAUAAUGAAUAUUAAAUAAUUAAUUUAAAUAAAAUUACUAAAAAUUUAUAAUUGGUAAAAUAUUUGAAGUCUAAUAAAAUAUUAUAAUAAUUGUGGUGAUGGUGGGUGGCAGGUGGUGGUAUGCAAAUGGUCAUGGUGAUGGUGUUGGUGGUGGUGAAGGGGUUGUGGGUGGUUAUAGGUGGUGGCGGCUGAAGUGAAUAAUUAAAAAAAUAAAAUUAAGGGGUAAAAUAAUAGUUAGAAAUUUUUUAUUGACUCAAUAUCUUCUCUAUUUAUAGAGACGAGAUGUUGCUAAAGUUUUUUACUUUUUAUCAAACAGUUUUAGUCUCUUCACAGAAAAAUAAAAAAUAAAAUAAUAAGAAGCUAUUAAACGCUAUCUUAUAAUUAAAGCAAUGACUUUUAAAGCACAUGAAUAUCCUCGCGGCAACAGAUCUAAAAAUCUACAUAUUUAUCUUCACCUCAAAAUAAAACAAGAAAAAUUAAUUAAUAAACAAUUUCGUUAGCAGAAAAAAGAGAGGAGAAUCUACAGUUACUUUAUUUGAAGUUUUAGUAUAUUACAAUAAUAACACUAAUUUUUAACUCAUAAAGUUUAUUUGCAGAAAUUACCCCACACAAAAAAAUAUAUAUAUAUAUUUAUCGGGAGAAAUUACCUAUUUUUGGAAAGAAAAUCUGAAAAACUAAACAGAAAGAAGAUAUCAAUUCACACCGUCUUUAUCGAAUCUCCCUCUUUCUCUCUUAUGGCGGAAAACGAAGAAGAAGGUUCAAAAGUCAACGACCCUUCACAGCGUUCUGUACCCGUAUGUCAUCGUUGUCCCUGUCUAAUUUCUGAUGUUUUCCUUUUAUUAAUUCCAAUGUCUGACUUCUUUUCUUAAUUGAAAUUACAUUAAUUUAAUUAAAUUCUUUCAAAUAUUUCUGGAUUAAUUCCACUUUUUGUAUCAUGAACUAGUAUAUGGAAGUAGUAUGCACGAGUUCAGGCAAAGUUAGGCGAUUUGCAGCUGGAACUGAUGCUGGUUUUGCAUUGAAUUUGAUAAACAAAAAGCUUGAUGGUGGGAUUCCACUUGCCUCCCAUAUUGAAGCUGUUAAAGAAGGGGAGGGAGAACCCAUCAGUUUUGGCCCUAAUUCAGUUCUUGUGGAUUACGGUUCAGGUUGGAAGUUGCAGACCGUUGCUGUUCUAGAAGGUGCUCUUCUGUGUUUUUUUUUGGAUUCCAGUUCCUAUUUCAUUUUUUGAAAAAGUUUUUCUACAACCAACAGAAAUAUUUAAACUUAAAAGAGUUUUUUUUUAGUUAUUAGAAUUAACACAGUAAGUACUUGUUUACUUACCUGGUUGAAAUCUGUACGAGGGGCUAAGUAUAGGAGGUGGUCAAAAGUUCUUAGUUCUGACUUCGUGUGAAUAUUUGAAGCAGGACAUAGAAAAGGGGAAGAUAUUCAGAAAACAAUUAAACAAGGCAAAUCUGUGAAGGUACAAGUUUUCAUAUUUUUUGCCUUAUGAUUUUGUUUUCUUUUAUUCAGUUCUGCAUUAAUGAUCCUCCAAAACAUGACGACUGUUGCCUCCUUUAUAUACUUGAUUUGAUGAAUGGAUUCGUGGAAAUGUGUAAUCACUUGUUCAUAUGCUAGGUUGCUGGAAGUCAAAACAUAGUAAACUAUACGACGGUUGUGCUAGUUCAUAGGAAACCCUAGGAUUGUCUUAUUUUUUUGAGGGGAAACUCUAGGUGUUUAUGCCAAUUUACGUUUUCUAUUCUUUAUAUUCUUGAAGGAAGUGAGGAUUGCUUUCAUUAGGUCAGAUGAAGUUCGCUCGUGAUAUUAUUGCAUGCAAAGUUAUUUGGUAGGUGGUGGAGGUGGUGAACCCAUGGCUUUUGAAUAUAUUCAGAGAACAUCCAUUAACGGAAGAGUUCCCAAUCAAACUCUAGCAAUGCAGCAGGUUUACUAUUCCACAUAAUAUAACGGCUUAAUGACAUUUUUGUUCCUCUAAGUUGUUACCGAAUGUCAUAGUCGUCCUUAAAGUUCAUUUUUUCACCAAUCGAGUCCUUAAAGCGGCUAAUUGGUGUCAAUUUUGUUCCUUUUCUCAAUUUUCACCUAAAUCCGUCCAAAAUUUGACCCGACCCAUAUUUUAAAGGACAAAUUUGUCAUUUUCUCUUUUCAAAUAUAGUACAUAUACUAAAAUUAAAACAAACUAAAUACACUAAAUACAUGUACAUAUAUGAUGUAUAUACGUGUGUAGCAAUCAGAUCUAGCAGCGGAGAAGAAGAUAUUACUGCUCGAUUCGAUCGUAUGGAAGUCAUCGAUAGACAAUAGAUCGAGGAGAGCGUCGGCGGCACACCAAAUCUAGCAGCGACGGAUCUCUGUCUUACUCGGUCAUUCAGUCGUCGCCUCAACCAACCCAACCACCACUUUCACCACAUUAAACACUAUUGCCGCCUUCUGCAAGGCCCGAACCUUCGUCAACGGGGAAACUUGGGUCCUAUAUCUUCAUUUUAAAACAUGGGUCGGGUCGAACUUUGGACGGAUUUAGGUGAAAAUUAGGAAAAGGAACAUAAUUGACACUAAUUAGUCACUUUAAGGAUGACUUUGAUAUUCGAUGACAACUUAGAGGGACUGAAGUAUCAUUCAGCCUAAUAUAUCCAUAAUUGCCAAAGCUACAUUUUAUGAGGUUUUCCUUGAGAGAUAGAAAGGCUGAUGAGGUGGAUUCCACAUUUCUUGAUUUAUCAUUGAUGAUAUUGGAGCCUAAAGAAUAGAUGAAAACAUUGUCAAAAAGAUAAUACCAAUCGCAAUCAAGUAUGGUAGAAAUCAAGAUAUCUUAUUUUACAUAUCUUUAAUCUAGUUCUUUUAUCUUGCGAGAACCUAGUGAAAAUAAAGUUCAAACCUUAUGAAAGACACUAGCAUCUUGUAGUCAUUCCUUGAUCAGUAGCCCUAGCUACCCUUCAGAAUGACUCAUAGAGAAUAUUAAAAAUGUACUUGAGCCGAAAGCUGUGAUAUGAACUUCAUGGGAAUCAGCUUUUUAAAUAGUAUAUAUUUAUCAUUUGCAGGGUAUCGAGGGUUCCCAUCAUGCAAAGAUGGCGUCACAACCAGCAAUCAGUUUGUCAUACAUUGGAAAGAUAUUGCUUGCUUUUCUUUUGAUUUUUGUGCUUGGGGCAAUUUUCACAUUAGCUCUGGAGAACCUUCCCGCACUGAUCUUGUAUAUCAACUCCAAUAUGUAACUUUACUGUUGUUUAAAAUUUUAUUUAUAAUUCCAGCAGACUGUGUCUGAAUGCCAUGGGGAUAUUCGUUGUUUAAAUUUUUACUUAUAAUUUACAUGUUUUGUGAGUUUGAAAACGUUUCAAAUUUACUUAAUGAACAGAUGAAAUAUUAAGUGUAUGGAAUAACAUAUAUUUUUGGAGCAACCAUAACUCAACAAGCAAACGAAUAAAGAAGCUUUAUUGGAUGGAAGAACAGUAAAGCACCUAACUAGCCUAAUUUUUCUGUUUGCAAUUAUUUAUGUUUUGCACAACAAAAGGAUGGUGCAACAGUUGCUCGGUGGUCCAUCUCUUUGUAGGAUCUCUCUGCAGACAGACUGCUAUGAAAUCCUGAAACUCCCUUGAGACUCCUCAGGCGUCUCUGUCCCACAAAUUGCGUCCACAAGGCUCCCCCAAUCCGUAUCCAGCACAACCUCAAAAGGGUAGGCACCUGAAUAGACCUGAAGAAUGCAUAACCCGAGGCUCCAUAUAUCUCCUGCAUACCCAUCAUAUAGUCCUCCACUAUACAGGUCUGUGCUGAUUCUCUCAGGACUCAUGUAAGCAAUCUUGACCUCUUUUCGAUAGUUGAUAAGUAGAUUGGAAGGCUUCAAAUCUCUGUGCACAAGCUUUCGAGUAUGGAGGUAGGACAAUGCAGAGAGGAACUGAAAAGCGAUAUUGGCAACUUCUUUUUCAUGGUGAAUGUGGCUGCCUUUGAGUGAUCCGCCGUCCAUAUAAUCAAACAGGAUAUGAAAUUCUAGUUGGAUAUUUUCAAAUAUGAAAAGUAUAUAAUAAAUAUAUUAUAUGUUGUCUUUAUAACCAAAAAUUAUGUUGGUUCAAUUGGCAUGGCUUGAUGAAGGGUUGCAGCAGUGAUGUUAUGGAUUUUGUUGAAUUAAAAUUCCUGAUUUUGUUGUGCCAAUUGAAUUGGACCGUUGCAUGACUUUGUUGUGCUGAUUGAAUUGGACAGUUACAACGGAUUUAUUAAAGCCCAAGUCACAAACCAAUGCAAUGGUUGAAGUCUGCACAUUACAGAAUCUAUACAUGGUGUUUGAUGCCUCUUUUAUUUGACAAAUCCCCCCAAGUGAAUCGCUCAAAAUCAUUCCGUUGUUCUUAGAAAAAAUUAUUUCUACAUAAUGAAUUUAAUAGUGAGUAAAAAAUUAGGGGCGAAUAUAAUAUUAUUGUUCUACAUUUAACUAAGAAACGGGUACAACUUGCAACAAUUCCCUCUUGGUUGAUGAAGCCGUGGCAGUUGACCAAGUUUGGGUGGUGGACGUGGCGGAGGAGCUCCAUAUCUCGAAGGCAACGCUGGCGGAAUUUGAUCAAGGAAUCAUCGGUCUUGGCGGUAUUAAAAAUACGUAAAGCGUAGAGCUGGCUAGUGGGGUGGUGGAGGACUUUGUAGACGGUGCUGCUUCCACCGCCGAUUUGGUUGAUAUGCUCCAGCUGAGAAAAACUUAUUGACGGCUGUGAAGUGGAUUUUGUGGGUGAUUGAGUGGAGUUUGUAGGUGGCGGAGAUGAAAAUGAGGAAUCUAAAGGGAGUGGAGGAAUGGUUAGGCUGAACUUGAACGUUGAUUUUGGAUUCAUGACUUCACUUGUCUAUCUUUUCUUUUCUUGGUGUUUGGUGGUCUUGUGACUUGGGGUGGGGUGGGGUGUUUGUAAUUUCUGGUGACACAGUUUGCAGGUUUGAUUUAUUGUUCUUUCGUCCAAUCUCCACUCCGUGGAACAAGUCAGUGUGUGUGUGACUGGGGGAUCAAGAAAGAAGACUUGACCAUUUGACUACCUGCCAUAUAAAAUAGAAUAAGCUUGAAAACUUCGCUCAUCUUUCUUGGAAUGUAAUAUAGUAUGUAUCAUAUAUUUGUCAAAAUGAGGUUUACUCUUGAAACCAUUGUAUUAAACUUCAUAAAUAAAUCUCUUGCUCCCUUCCGCAAUCAUUUGAGGAGUUUGAUACUAGUUAUUUUUCUAAAAUUUGCAAAUUUAUUUUAAUUUUCAAAAUAACAAUUUUGUACUUGGUAAUACUUUUUAAAGUAAUUUACAAUGUCGAAAAUAAAUUUUAAAUUUUUAUAAAAUUGACUAUAAAAAGAUUAUUUUUAUGAAACUGAUGGAGUAUCUGGUUAUUAUAAACUUUAAUUCAUUGAAGGGGUAUGUCCCAUUUUAAGAAAUGUUCGGGAAGCCAAAAACAGGCAACUACUUCCAAUAUCAAUCUCUUCAAGUGACUCUGCACUAAACAUUGAACAAAUGUCACCCACUUCAACACAAAUGGUACAAUUUAAAAACUCCAAGCAGAAACUCCUACCAAGAAAUGCUGUCAUUUUCAAUUUGCAUAAUCUACAAUGUGAACAAGUCUAUGCCAUCGGCCCAUGUUACAUGUUAAAUGCCCUCCCACAUUAUUCAGAACACUUAAUUCUUUGUUCUUUCUCUCUAUAUUUGCUUCUUCUGCCCUUUAAAGGCAGAAAGUAUAUGAGAUUACAUACAAUAGAUUGUAACCGGUACAUUACAGAUUUACAGGUUAGGUGAAAAAGAAUAUCUAACAUCUGAAGCAUACAGCAGUUCCUUUCCUUCAGUAAGGCCAGAUAAGAAGACAAGUGAGGAUUUCCCAUGUUGGACAAGUAUCCAUUCCCUAAUUCGAGGAGCUUGCAGAUUUGAGGUAGAUUUCAUCCACAUGGACUGCAGGUACAUAAACUGCAUGCUGUAGUGUGCUGUGGGUGCGACCAUAGAAAGCAUAGACAAAAACUCCUACCAUGAGCCAUAUUGACACACGGGUCCAAGUGGCAACACUGAGGGUUUUGAAUAAUUAUCACAUGAGAACUAGGAACUAAGAAACACUACAAAAUGGUUGUUAUUGUUGAAUAAGUCAUUUGGCAGAAAGACGGAGNNNNNNNNNNNNNNNNNNNNNNNNNNNNNNNNNNNNNNNNNNNNNNNNNNNNNNNNNNNNNNNNNNNNNNNNNNNNNNNNNNNNNNNNNNNNNNNNNNNNNNNNNNNNNNNNNNNNNNNNNNNNNNNNNNNNNNNNNNNNNNNNNNNNNNNNNNNNNNNNNNNNNNNNNNNNNNNNNNNNNNNNNNNNNNNNNNNNNNNNNNNNNNNNNNNNNNNNNNNNNNNNNNNNNNNNNNNNNNNNNNNNNNNNNNNNNNNNNNNNNNNNNNNNNNNNNNNNNNNNNNNNNNNNNNNNNNNNNNNNNNNNNNNNNNNNNNNNNNNNNNNNNNNNNNNNNNNNNNNNNNNNNNNNNNNNNNNNNNNNNNNNNNNNNNNNNNAGGGGGGGGGAAGAUCAAAUUAGUAUAUUCUUCGAAGUGGUGUCUCCCAUUGUAAUAUAAUAAACCUCAAAUGUGGAUAAUGUACAAAGUUUGUUUUAUUUUCUAUAAUAGUGGCUAAUAUAUGAAAUUUAGUUCUACAUAAGUUGAGAAACAUUCACCCGAGAUUGAUCAACAAGUAGACAUUGAUAAGAAUGCAGACAGUAGGCAGGAGAGGAACAAACGGGCAAAUGAACCCCUGCAAGAAGAGAAGUGAUCUAUAUAGUUAUGCACUUCUUGACAAAUGCUUAACUUAUACCUGCCAAUUUUAAAAUGUUUGAUAGAUGGGGACAACCCAUGAUAUUGUUCUAGGUAAUCUCAAUAUCUGAGAUUAUGAAUGAUGACUUAUAAUGACGAGAACAAACGCCGGAAAUGAGCUAAUUAUAGUCAACCUCAAAUAAUAACUCAACAAAAUCACAACCUCAUGUUUAUAGGUGGAAGGAGGUAUACCUCCUGUGUGCCCAAAGUUGUGUCUAGCAUCAUCUUGUUCUAUACUGGUGAGCACUGCCAGACCACUCAAAAGAAGAAUGCCACCAAUUCCGCAUAGUGUCAAUCACAGAGAACUGAGUAAAAUCAAUAGUUUAUGAAAAUGUGUCCCAGAAUCAGUUGUAAAAUACGGUUUAUCAAAACAGCAUAUCGUUACGCUCUCUCUAUGAUACAUAAAUAAACAAGUGUCAAGAAAUACAUGUCCGAAUCACUUGACUGAAAAAUUGGAGAAUAACCCACCUAGGUAGGCCAAUAGUUGAAGCAGCCAACGUAAGGACAAAUGCUCCGACACAUGCAAGCAUUAUGGUCCAGCUAGCAAUUCUUCUCCUGUUCUCCUCAUUUAAGAUGACUACAAAAAAAAAAUGAAGUAAACCAGUUUGGCAAGUCCCGUAAUAAAUGGCGAAACACCUACAACUCCUUGGCCAAUUGAUGAGCACCAGGAGAUGACUUAGAAUGAACAGAAUCAACCUGUUUUCUCCUAAUCAAACUUUGGAACCCAAAUAAUCCCUGUCCUCUUCCUUUGCCACCCUUUUGUGGAUCAGAAAGGAAACCUAUAAGAAUUUAGCAGGUGGGCAUUCGAGAAUUUAGGUUGAUAAUCUUUAUGUAAUGUUAUCUCAAGGUACGAAGUUAGGUGGCUCACUGGCUCUACUAGCACUAGUAAGGGUGUAAUAACCGAAUCUAAGAGAAACAGGCAGCAACCAGCCAAGAACCUGCCCGCCGGAUUCAAAGGCCAAGAUAGAUUCCUAAAGAUUCAAGCCCAAAGCCUUUGAGAGGAGAUUCAACAAAGCUAGAUUAUAGACCCGGAAAGAAACGAAAAGAAAAUCACUUCCCUCCUCUCUGCAGGCUAGGUGCUAGAUUAUUUUUCAUUGGAGUAGUAUAAUUAACGGCCACCUAGCUUAAGCUGCAGUGGAGAUUUAAUUCAUGAUAACUAGUAGUUUGACAAAUUCCAGUAUUUUUACUAAUUUUUUAGUACAAAUGAAAAGUACUACCACCUCCUAUAAUAAUUUAAAUAAUUAAAAAAAGAGUAAAAUAUAUUGACACCCUCUGUAGAUAAUCAUAAUAACACUCAUCAUCCUUUUAGUCAGUACCCCUCUAAUCUACAAUAUGUAAUAUUAACUACCCCUAGUGUGGUUGACCAACUAAUAUUUAAAAAUAUUUUUAAUAUAAUGUCUAAUACACCCUUCAAGUUAUAAUGUUUAAUUUCUCUACUAAAUAUAAAUUUGUAUAUCAUAAUUUUUACUUUACUUGAUCUAAUUAAUUAAAUUAUGAAAUUGUGCAAUAAAUAACAUAAAAGUAAAAAAAUAAUAAAUAUUUAUUUUAUCAUGAAAAUAAAGGCAUACCAUUUUUACUAAUUAAAUUUCUCAAAUAUUAAAAUUUACGUGAUAUAUAUUCAAAUAUAUUUUUUUGUAAUUAAAAAGUAUAAUGUUAAUACCCAUAAAAAUUACAAAUUAACGCAAUAAAAUAAUAAUAAUUUUUUUCAAAUAUUAAAAUUUACGUAAAACAAACUUAUUAAACGAAUUUUAUUACUCAUAUAAAAAAGUAUUAAAAAUUAUAUUAAUUAUUUUUCUCAUAUAUUAAACUAAACAUAAGUCACACUUAAACAUGAUUAUUUACAGUAAAAAUGACAAAUGUUGUUACUAAAAUAUAUAUAUAUAUAUAUAUAUAUAUAUAUUAAAAGAUUUUUUUUACAAGAUAGAUGUAGUAAUAAAUAUAAUUAUAUAUUUUUAUUUAACAUUGCAUUAAAACAACAUCAACUGUAUACUAACAAAAUGUAAUCAAAAUCAUAAACAUCCCAAUUUUUUAUAUAUACUCAAUAAAAUUUAACAUAUAAAAAUUAUAAUAUGAAACUAAAAAUUCAAAUAAUAUUUUUUGUUGUUAAGCACUAAAAACUAAACUAUCAAUAUACUUAAUCACUCUAAUUAUAAUAGCUUCAUUAAUAAUUUAAUUUAAAUUUUUUUAAUAUUUGUAUCACUUAUCCAAAAAUAUGUGUUAAUUAAACUAAAUUAAUUUUUUAUAAGUUACCAAUAAUUUAAAUGAGAUAGUUUUAAUUACAAAUAAAACUAUAAUAAAAAUGUAUUGUAUUAAAAAAUGAUAAUUAAACACAUAUAUAUAUUAUUUAGUAAAUAAAAUUUGAUAAAAUACAAGGGUAAAUAUGUAACUUUAUCUAUUUAGUCAACCCUAAAAACUUGCAGGGGUACUAACUGUUACUUAAAAAACUAGAGGGGAGGUAAAUGUUAUUAUAAUUAUCUAGAGAGGGUGUCACUGUAUUUUACUCUUUAAAAAAACAAAAGUAUUUCACACGCCUUUGUUUCAAAAACAAGAAUCUUAUUUAUUUGUAAAUUUUAAAAAUUAUAGUUAUAUAUGUGAGCUCUAUAUUUAUGUUUAAAAAAUUGAGUAUUCAGUUUGGUAAUGACGUGUAAUAUUGAAAAUAUUGCGUCAUUCUACUAAGUUCAUAAAAAUAAUCAAAUAUAUAUUCAACCAUCCACAUGAAAUAAUACAUUUUUGUUUUGACAAUUUUUUUUUUAUCUCAAAUCGAACACACCACACACCACUCUAACUUCCAACCUCAUGGUAAACAUAAAUCGAGUCAUACCACUGGGCCAAAAGUCGGAGACUAGUCACUACAAUUCCAGCUUCUUUUUCAAUUCACAACCACUUUUUUUUUUGAGUCCUUUACAUAAGUAUACAACAAAUAGAAAGUAAUUACAAAAAAGUGCAUCAACUAAAUAAUUACAAAAAGAGUGUAAUUAAGACUCAUAUUACAAAAAUAGUACAAUUCACAUUAAUAAAGAAACCUAAAAUCAAGGAUAACUAAUAAUUCAAAUUCAAAUUCAAAUCUUGUCUCUAACAACAAUUUCAAAUCCAUAUUUCAAAAUUCAAAUCAAAAUGAGAAAAUUAAAAAUAAAAAAUUAUGAAGGAGCUAAUGUUCAUCAUCCUCCUCUCUCGCCGCCNNNNNNNNNNNNNNNNNNNNNNNNNNNNNNNNNNNNNNNNNNNNNNNNNNNNNNNNNNNNNNNNNNNNNNNNNNNNNNNNNNNNNNNNNNNNNNNNNNNNNNNNNNNNNNNNNNNNNNNNNNNNNNNNNNNNNNNNNNNNNNNNNNNNNNNNNNNNNNNNNNNNNNNNNNNNNNNNNNNNNNNNNNNNNNNNNNNNNNNNNNNNNNNNNNNNNNNNNNNNNNNNNNNNNNNNNNNNNNNNNNNNNNNNNNNNNNNNNNNNNNNNNNNNNNNNNNNNNNNNNNNNNNNNNNNNNNNNNNNNNNNNNNNNNNNNNNNNNNNNNNNNNNNNNNNNNNNNNNNNNNNNNNNNNNNNNNNNNNNNNNNNNNNNNNNNNNNNNNNNNNNNNNNNNNNNNNNNNNNNNNNNNNNNNNNNNNNNNNNNNNNNNNNNNNNNNNNNNNNNNNNNNNNNNNNNNNNNNNNNNNNNNNNNNNNNNNNNNNNNNNNNNNNNNNNNNNUGGACAGGAGGAGGAGGAGGAGGAGGAGGAGGAGGAGGAGGAGAAGGGAAACAUAAAUAAAGUGGGAGAAAAUUGUGGGAGAGAUGGGGAGAAAAUUGUGGGAGACAUGGUUGAGAAUUAAAACACAUCCCAUAAUUAAAGGAAUCAUAAAUAUGUACUAAUAAUGAAAAUAAAAUUUUUAAGAUAUAAAUUAUAUAAAUAUUUAAUGAGGGCACUUUUCUUGUAAUUAUAUUUUUAAAUGUACUAUAAAAUGUAAUUGUUUCUUUUUUUUUUUGUUACAGCUACAAUUCCAACAUCACUGAGAACAUUACCGAUAAGCAUUUGGAACGUUUCGGCCUCUGCAGAAAUAUUGUGAAAUAUUAAACUAUUAAAUUUACUUGUAUAACAAAGAAAUUGAUAAUGUACACUUCUUGACAGUCCAAGACAAACUGUACAGACUGCACUUAAAUGCACAACUCCUACCGUAUAAUAUACUAGCAACAGUCCCGUGUCUUCGGCGCUGUAUGGACGGUGAGAUUUAUUCCAAAUUUUGGACGGCCCAGAUAAUUUAUUAGGAUGAGUUGAAAAUUCAAAAUCAUUUGUAUAUAUAUAUAUAUAUAUCCUCCCUCCUAAAGAAGCAGUACUAUUUCUUUAGGUCGGAGAGAGUACUAAAAAUUAUACAUGGAUUUGAAUACGUUCAUUACCGUACAACAAAGAUAUGAUUCUUAAACUGUAAAUGUUAAACCUCAGGUGCUCUUGUUGGGCACCUUGUCGAAAUAACUUCGUGACGAACUGCAAUUUAUAUCAUCCAAAUCAGCAGUUGGCACACAAACUGCAUUUAACAGUAAGCUGUGUGUUCUACCGUAGAAUGUGUAGAGCAGUGCUCCUGCUACCAGCCAUACAGACACAUGGCUCCAUGUGCUAGGUCUGAGAAUUAACAUUACAACAGUAUCGUAAAUUAAAGACAGUCAUAUGAGGGAGUGAGAAAGUGAGAGAGAGAAAGUAAUUGACUGGAAGGAAGCUCCCCCAAGAUUUAUCAGCAAGUAUGUGUUUAUGAGAAUGCAGGCAACAGGUAAGAAUGGAACAAAUGGGCACUUGAAACCUGAAGAGAUGUCAACAAAUGAUAUCAUAAAUCUCGGCAGAUUCUUCUAAUUAUGAAGUAUAAGAACACACUACAAAAAAUAUUUCAAAAAUAUAAUCCGACAUACUGAAUAUAAUCUCAAUCAAAUAAAAAGAAACAAAAAAGUUUACAUAUAUAUAUAUAUAUAUAUAUAACAAAAUACAAUGAUUUUGAAUUUCCCGCUCAUCUUAAUAAAUCAUCUGAGUUGUCCAAAGUUUGGGAUAAAUCCCACCGUCCAUAGUGCCGGAGGCAUGGGACUGUUGCUAGUAUAUAUAUAUAGGGUAGUGAUCCAUAGCAAACGGUUGUUAUCGACAUUAUUCCAACAAACAAAACUUAAACCGUUAAUCAGAGAUCCAACGGCUUAAAGAGAAAUUUUUUUGUUGGCCGCUACCUUUAGUCGCAGCUAAUUUUAUUUUUAUUUUGUUGGUCUCUACUAAGAGUUAAGGCCAUGAAAAAUGUCUAAAACACCCCCAUUUUAGUUAGAUUUAAAAAGUUUGUAAUGUAUAAAUAAUUUUUAAGUAACAAAAUUUAAAAUUGUCAAUUAUAUUCAAUGUAUGUAUUUGUAUGAAUAAUUUCUUAAGUAAUAAAAUUUAACAUUAUCAACUAUAUUUAAUGUAUUUAUUUUUAUAAAAUAAUUGUAUAAAUAAUUUCUUAUGUAAUAUAAUUUAACAUUGUCAAUUAUCGUGACAAUUUGAUUAUUUGAAAUUAAACUCCAUAUUGUAAUAUAACUUGGAAUUGCCUUAUAAAUUAAUACAUUGAAACUAUUUAAAUCUAACUAAGGUUAAGGUGGGGUGUUUUAGACAUUUUUCAUGGCCUUAACUCUUAGUAGAAGCCAGUAAAAAAAAUCUCUAGCCACUAGUGGCCAGCUAAAAAAAAUUUCUCUAGUUGUUACUCUUAGUAGUUGCCAGUAAAAAAAAAAAUUCUCGUUGGGCCAUUGAAUCUUUGAAUUAACGGUGUAAGAUUUGUUUGCUAGAACAGUGUCUAUAGUAACCGUUUGCUAUAAAUCACUACCAUAUAUAUAUAUAUAUAUAUAUAUAUAUAUAUAUAUAUAUAUAUAUAGAAAUAGAAAUAAUUUGUAUGUCGACAAAUAUCAUGACGAAAUUGAUGGCGAUUAACACGGAACUCUAAACAAUAAGAUAAUAUGGAAUAAAUUAGUUGAGUCCCUUUUUAUUUCCCUCAUAUCUCAUGUAACCACAUACGUCGGUAUUUACUAUAAAUAUAAAUUUGUCGUCAUAUAUAUAUAUAUAUAUAUAUAUGAAAUUGCAGAAAAGUCUAAAUUAUUACCAAAACUAUCAAAAUUGAGGUUCAUUCAAAAAGACAACCUAUCAAAUCACAACCCCAUUUUUCGAGGCUAAUUAUUUAGAUCAUCAUGAAAAACAAAUUGUCAAUAGUAUACUCCCUUCUACAUUCCACAAAAGGCCUUUGCAAAAUAUACAAACUUGCUAAAUUUUACCCCUAAAUUUGUUCAGUGUUUAGUUUAACAGUGACGGCAUAUGACAAUGAAAUUGUUAUGGUAAACUUGAGGACAUUGCCUCAUCUUAUGUACCAUCAAAACAAAUGGGACACUUUUUGGAACAAUUUUUUUUUGGCAAAUGAGACUGUGAACAGAGUAUUAGAGAUAUACUAUAAAAAGCAUCAAAUUCAUAUCGAAUGUAUUAAUAACAAUAACUUAAAAAAAGUUUCAAUAUACCUCCUGUUUGUCCAAAGCUGUGUGCGCCAUCAUCUUGAUCAGUACAGGCCAGCACAACAGAAGAGCACCACCCAUUAAGCAAAAAGUAAGGCGAGGAAUACUAAUACAGUGAACAAGUUGAUGAAAAGGUCAGGAUGGGUUACAAAUUGAUCAUUAAAUAGAUAAAUAAUGUUGCUUUUGAAAUGGAGGAAUGAGACUGAUUCAAGACAGGUAUGAAGGCUUGAAUAAACAGGAAAAUAACGAAAAUUAUAAGAUCCUUGUCAAGAAUGGAGGCAGGGAAAGAAGAGAUAUACCCAAACCUUACUAAAUGACUAAAAUAACCUUACUAAAUAACAAAUAACCUAAUUAAAACAUUAUGAAAAUAUGGAAAUAUAUAAAAGCUACUAUAUUGUUAGAGGCUGGGUGGCAAUCUGCCUGGAUUUUGUAUUUCCUCAAAUUAUAGAGGGAGCUGCAAUUAGAAACCUAAACACAAAUGAUUCCGAUCUUGAUUGACCUAAAGUAUUUUAAAAGUCAAAGAGUAGAUAUUGGGGUAUCAAUCAACUAAUGGUUAAAGGUAUGGACUUCAAUUUGUUGACGUACCUGGGAAGAUCUUCAGCUGAAGCAUCAGAUGAAAGGACAAGAAUCCCUGUACAGAUAAGGGUUAUACUCCAAGAAGCAAUUUUCCGUCUUCUUAGCUCAUUUUCUUCGCCUGUGAUUAAACAUUAAUAUAAAGAAUUAAAGAUAUAGUCAGUUAGCAAAUCAAUGACGAUAAGGAAUGGAUUACGUUAAUUAUUAGUGACACUUUACUUUGGGCUACUACUUUAUCAAGAAGAGGAUGUCUAAUAGAAUCUUUAGAAUGUUCCUUGCAAAUCUCCUGGGUUUCACUACUAAAUUGCAAUGAGACAGAAUUAACCGAUUCCGAAAGUGAUGAUGGCACAGACGCCUCGUCUGGUGGAACGUAUCUUAGUAUCAACACUGAAAUUGCAACAGCAGUGAAUCCAAGCAAUGUACCCACGCUAACCUGCAGAGGAAAAAGAGGCAUAAUCUCUGAUAAACAUUUAUCGCCGUACAAAAACAUGGUAUUCCCCUCCUCAAAAAGAAAAAACGAUUGUAAUCAUCUUAUCAUGUUAACUUACCAUCCCUGCCAAUUCCGAAACAUCCAUAAAGAAUGACAGGGCAGCAAUAAAGAUGCCAGUCAGUAUUGUGCUCUUGACUGGAACUUGGGUGUGUUUGUUGAUGUCUGAAAGGAAUGAUGGUAACAACCCAUCUCUCGCCAUUGCCAUUAGGAUACGUGGCUGAAAAACCAGGAGAAGGAAGUAGAGUAAUAAUGAGCUAAAAUUCGGUAAAUCAAUUGCUGGACAGCGGAAAGGAGGUCCACCAAUUGAUCAGGAUCCUCUAAAUUCUAAAGGAAAAAAGGAAAAGAAAAACUGAAUCCCUUGUGCUCAUUUCAAUUCAAGCCACCAAUUUUGUCAAAAGGCCUGAUUAGUUAAAACAUGUACCUUGUAAUUAGGAUUAAAUCACAAAUUGAACCCUACAGUGACCUUACCAGUAAGUUUCAGAUAACUAUUCUUCAUACAUUAACAAAUCUCUUUAGAAAACUAAAGCUAGUUUAUAAACUAAAGGUAAACAGUAAUCAUCACAUACCUGAGGAAGAAUUGAACCCAUUAAAGCUGCACACAGAGAAGUAACUGUUCCAGUUGUUAUAAUGUAUCUGCAGUUUUGGCAAAGUGAUAUCGAGUAGAAAACAAAUUUUUCUAGCUGACAAUUUCCUGAAUUAGAAAAGGACACAUAGCACUACACAAGUUCAAGAAUGACUUACACUGCCCAUUCCAUCCCAUAGCUAGCAAAAGCUGAAGAGAUUGGGGUGUCUGGAUCCAAUGCGUCAUAUGGUACUAAACCAACAACCACAGCAGAUACAAGCAUAUACAAUAUGCAACAUGUAGACACUGAAAUACCUAUACCAAGCGGCAAAUCUCGAUGAGGAUUCUUCACCUGUCAUGGUUAUAUAGAGAAGGAUGCUCAGGUUACAAUUCUGUUAGAUGAGUAAUGACGUCUCUGGAAGAUUAGGAUUUAAUGUACACCUAAUUACAAAGGGCAUGGAAGGCUAAGGAUAAGAAUAUAAAGUUAUUCAAAUUUAGCCACAUUUUCAUGGUUUUUCCAUCUUAUCCCAUAUUAUCUAAUUAAGAAAAGCUAGAGAUGGUAAAACAUGUGUUUCCUUCAUUCUUUAUUAUCAACUUCUGUUUUAUUCAACUAGUACUCCUAAGGAAUCAAGUGUUUACAACUUAUACCUCCUCAGCUGUGCUGGUAACUGCAUCAAACCCAACAAAUGAAAAGAACGCUGCUGCAGAGCCAGAAAGUAUCCCAUGUACGCCAAACGGAAAAUACCUAUAGAAUUGCAAGGAUACAUUAGAUUGACUACUAAUUUCAGUUACCACUUAAGAUCAUGGGAUUACUCAUUACCCGUUAGGACGUUGAUAACCUAUCCAUCCACUCGUGCAACCUACAAAUCCACCAGCUAUAAGGAUGAAAACCAAGGCAACAACGUUUAAAGUUGUAACAGUGGCUUGUGCCAGAGAACUCUGCACGAUUAGUGCUUAACAAAGAAAUCAGGAAUUAUAGCCUAAGCAAAGAGAUAUUAUUCUAAUGAUAAUUCAAAGAUUUGCAGGAGAUGGCAAAUUGUACCUCCUUGAUUCCAGUGCACAAAAGUCCAGUUACAAAUAAAACCAGAAUUGCUGCACAUGGGUCUACUACAGUACCAAGAAUGGUAAGGCGGCCUAAGAAAGCAGGCAGCUUAUCCACACCUCCAAAAAAUAAGGCCUGUAUGUAAUAUAAUACACAGAAAAAACGAUAUUUAAACGUUGAGAAUUCUAUUAGCUCACACAAUGCAUAAUGGUGUAAAUGGAAAGUUUAAUUAAUUGAAGGUCCUUUCAAACGAUGUGCAAUCUUCAAAGCAAAUAAGUAAAGAUCUCUUUCAACCGUUUCAACAGUAUAAAAUAUGCACUUUCUGGUGCGACAGUGUGUGUUUCAGAACUACCAAUUACAAUGACCAUCAGUGAAACUAUGAAAAUUCACUUCCACAUUAGAAUAAAAUUUGGAAAUGGUGUUUAAUUACCAAAUCUAGUACUAGUUGUUGACCUAAAAAGCCCAAAUCCUAGAUUUUGAUGAUAACAAACAUAAAAUGUUGAGCUAAUUGGUGUAUUGACGUUGUGUUACAGGUUACAAGAUUAAAUGGCACCUUAAAUGUCUUUAAAGCCAUGUAUUUGACCCCUUCAAAUAUGAAAAUGCAAGAUCAUGCAUGGUAUAGGCUUAAAGUUUUUAAAACAAUAAAUUUGUUUAAGAAGGUUUUAUAGUCAUUUAGUAUGGAUCCCAGGAACCUUUUGAAUCCUAGUUUUGAUUUCCUUUGACAUGGUUUCAUGUUCAAACUUUAAAUAGUUUAAAGUGAUCAAAACUUAAUGAUUGUAUCGACACGUGUAGGAAAAGCCUUUUUCACUAGAAAAUUUUGAAUUGAAGCACUUUGUGUCAACACAACUCCUGCAAAAUUGAAUUUCCAUUAUAAAAGAUAUUGUACAAGACAAAGAUUGUAACACCCUAGUCCCACAUCGAAAGAUAGGGGAAAAAUUUGUCUGCAUAUAAGGAAAUAAAUUACUACCAAUAGUACGUUCAAGUCAUGACCUUUUGGGUGAGCAUGUGAUGGGCUAAGACCCAAGAAGAUAUUAUUGGGUCAGUGAUUUGAGGCCUUAUUUUGAUGGAUUUGAUUCGAUUCGAACUUGGAAUUUGACCCGAGAUUUGUUCUAAACCCGGGUUGUUUCAUAUGGUAUCAGAGCCGACUCUCGAAAGCUCGGGUCAGGUCAUCCAAUCGGGUUGCCGAAGGCGGGGACACGAAGGCUGGUGGUAUUAUCCCACAAUGGAGAGAUGGAGGUCCGGAGGUGGGGACACGAAGUCAGCCGGUAUUAUCCCACAAUGGAGAGAUGGAGGUCCGGAGGUGGGGACACGAAGUCAGCCGGUAUUAUCCCACAAUGGCUAGAGAGGCAAAGAUCUGUGGACCGUGAACCACGUGCGUGAUCGGUUCUGACGGGGACGUCAAAAAUUUAAGUGGGGGAGUUUGUAAUACCCCAGUCUGACAUCGAAAGAUAAGGAAAAAAUUUGUCUGCAUAUUAGGAAACAAGUUACUACCAAUAGUACCUUCAAGUCGUGACCUUUUGGGUGAGUCUGUGGUGGGCUAAGAUGACCCAAUAAGAUACAAUUGGGCCAGUGGUUUGAGACCUUAUUUUGAUGGAUUUGAUUCGAUUCGAACUUAGAAUUUGAUCCGAGAUUUGUUUCGGACUUGGGAUUUGACCCGAGUUGUUUCAAAGAUGAUGCAUACUGGAGAAAGUACAACAUAAUAGCUAAUAAAUCGGGUGUGGUGCAAUUCUGAAGAGCAUGUAUUGUAUCACAAAAGGAAAUUAACUAUACCACAUUUGGGGAUAUUCCACGAGCAACAGCUGCGCCACCAAGUGUAUAUUCCAAUAUCAUAGCCCAACCAAUCAACCAAGCAGUACUGAAGCCAAUGAAAGUACAUUAAGUCAUUUAAAGAAGAAAAAUCAAAUCCUACAGGAGUGAGCUGAAAAUCAGUUAUGGUCUCUAUUCUCCAAAAAACAAAAUGCUAUCUAAUAUUAAAUAUGAAACAAUGGAAUCUUUGGCCUUGCCUUAAAAUAAAUUUGAUUAAGUUUGAUGGUUAUGACAUACUGAUGCUUUUAUUUUGAGAAAAUCAACAUGCUCUCAAAUAUUAACCAUGUAGCAAGGAAACUUUGGUCUAGGCUUCAAAAAAAAUGAUUACAUUAAACAGGUUGAUGGUUCUGACAUAGAGAUGAUGUUAUUCGGAGAAAACGUCAGUAUGAGCUUUAAUUUGAGGAAGACUGGAAGAUUAAGGAAAGUUGAGCUCACCCUUCUCCAACACAUAUGUAUGAAUAAUGAUAUGCACUCCCAGCUGAUGGACAGCGACAAGCCAACUCCGCAUAACAAAAUGCUGAAAAUCCAGCUGCAAAUCCAGCUAUUAGAAAAGCAAUAGGGAGAGCAGGUCCGGUGUGCUCUCUUGCAACUGUUCCAACAAGAAUGUAGACUCCAGCUCCAAUGGUCGAUCCAACUCCUGAUUCAGUAAAGCUUAAGUUCAACAAUAUAGAUAUAAUCAAAGAGAUCCUCGAAGGAUUCACCUCUAUGAAUAAACUUAUGCCCCUAAAGUUUCUGGUUUUAUUACUCUAUUCUAUACCCCAUCAAAAAAAAGGACAAAAGGAAAUACUAACUAAAAGAAAAGUAAUUCCUGGAACUUUAAUUGCCAAGCUACUGAAAAUUUCAUGUUAAUGACAGUGGGAGGAACUGAUUUUUAUUUUUUUGGGUAAAUGUAGCCAGGAUAGCCACCUCCUGCAAAACUUGCCAUAAUACCACACUGCCACUCCUUACCGUGUUCCACAAUAAAUUCACCACGGAGAAUUAGGAUAACACGAAAAAGGAUAGGAAAGGGUUUCAAAAUAGGAAGACCUACAGGGAGUUUCAAAGUUAUCAAUGAACUUUCCGACGAUCAGAAAUCGAACAAGCUACUGGCAAAGGUUUUUCUGAGGAUUUUUCAGAGUUUGGUAAGUCGAUUGGUUUUUCGAUUACAACUAAAGAGCAGGAAAAAUUCAUAGAUUUCAAUAACAGGGGUUCUCGUGAUUGUCUGUCUUUUGUUUAAUUUCAAAUUACUAAAGGACUUGGGUUAGAUUACAAGGACAUCAUGGAGUAAUAGAAUACACUCCAAAAAUUUAUGUUCAACAACCAUUUUAGCAUAAGAUGUCAUAACAAAGAAAUUGGUACAUUCAUAAAAAAUCUCCCCGGUAUAAUUUAAUGUAAUGACUAAUGCUAUUGACACAAAUCAUGAAAAAACUGGGAGCGGGACCUACCAUUACAAAUCUUAAUUAUUAUGCACAUGGGUCUUAUUUUGUGUAUAGUUCUAAUGUAAUUAUUGUCUUAAUUGGGUAGCCCUAUGUCAGCAAUCAUAAUUAAUGUAUCUAUAUAUCCACACAAGUCGCAAACAUAAUAACCAAACAAAAAGUUAUCACCUUAGUGUAUUCAGCUAGAUUUCCAACAUACAUAAACAAAGACCCUCCAGCCAAUUACUACAGAAACUCCGACCAAAGAAAGGGUAAAAGAUGAAGAAGAUAAAGAAUUACCGAUAGCAAUGAGGUCAAAAGCAGAAAGUCUCUUUGCAAGUUGCUGACCCUUGCCCUUUGCCUGAGCUGAAUCAACUUUCUUUCUCCUAAUCAAACAUCCAAAUCCAGAGUAAUAUUGCGAAACACCACCACCCUUUUUCAUAUCAACAACACAAACAGCAACACCCACAGAAUUUACCGGUGGGAAAAAAAUACUUAAAUCUUGAAUUUUCGAUCGAAAUAAGAGAUAUUUAUCAGCGCAAAACUCCCUUGCCGUAUAAUUUUCGGGAAAAUUUAUGAAAAGAAUGAAAUGGGUAGAGAGAUUAAUUGAAGUAUACCAAGCACCCACGUUAGAGGGAUCUUCGAUUAUCUGAUUCAGAGCAAAGACGACAAUCUAUGAUCAAAUUUUUAUCCGGUAUAUACGAGUUUGACAAGAGUUUUCAUUUCUAUAUUAAGAUUCUCGAAAGUCUCAAAAUUCGGCAAUCCAAAUAAAACAGAUGACUAUUUUUUCAUAGAAAUUCCUAACCCCCUCUAACAUUGAUGAGACCACCAAAACGAAGUCAAAUUCAAAUAGAAGCGUGCUGGCCUUGCCGCAUCAUUGAUGGGAGAGUGGAAAACCUUAUCCAGAACAUGUCUACGUUCAUUGAACUUCAAAUUCUUUUGGUUUGGGGCAAGCAAAUUGAGGAAUUUGUUUUAUUAUAUUUUUUGGGUUUUCUUUGAAUGUUGAUCAAAUCUCAAUUUUGUAAUAAUAAUAUCAACGGAAUUUAAGGUUAAGGGUACAAAUGAAUCGAGUCAUCCGAGUAUUGAGUUGUAUAAUCCGAGUAUCAAUAGAAAAUUAUAAUUUGAGAAAGUUCAAAUAAUUUAUCGAACUUUAAAAUAUGCUCAUAUUUGACUCAUUUAUAUUUCGAGUCGAGCUCGAAUCGAAUUUUUAGUUGAACGAGUAUAAAUCGAGCUCGAACUGUUUGCUCAUUUUAGAGCCUUAUUUAAGGUAUUUGAGAUCCAUUUGUUUUUUUAUGCCAGACAAAUCUUUUAAAAAUAUCAUUUUUACUCAUAAAAAUAUAAUCUCCUGUUUAAAAAAAGAAAAACUAAAAACUAAAAUAUUCAUUUUUUAAUACAAACACUUAAUAAUUUUUUUAUAACAAAUAUAUCGAGCAUGAAUGGAAUGGGAGAUGCAUAUCACAUACUAACAUGGUCUACUGAUGAUUUUAAUUACAAAUUAGCAGAGCCUCGACGUGACAGUUGCUCAAACAAGCAACAUGACGUUUACAGAAAAUUAACAGAAACUACUCUGAAGAUUAAAUUGAACCUCCCUCUAUCUCUACUUCAUUUGGCGUCAUACAGUUUAACAUCAAUUAGUACAGAACAUUGAUUUCAUGUGCUACACACACUUAACUAAAGUUGUCUAUUUCCCCCGCUGCCAUCUGAAAAACCCAAGCCCAUUGCUACUCUCUACAGCAAUAUCAUCUGUAGAAUCUGACCCACUACCAAUUGUUUCAUCCGAGCUUUCAUCAGGAAGAACUUUUACUCUGUCGGCAUUCUUGACAAUCCAAUCAGUGAAUUCAGGAGAGGAAGCCCAUUCAGCCAGAGCCUGCCGUGUAGAUUCCCCUGUGAAAUCUUCCCAUUGUUUCUUCGAGAACCUCUUUCUGUUUGGUGUCUUGUGAAAGGUUGAAUAGAAAUCCUGCGGCCUUCUUGUCCCUAUAGAUGGCGGGGAUACCAAACCUGAAACAAUAAAAACGGACAACUCACAAACCAUACUUGUAUGCAUAUGCUUUGGGUAAAAUAUCAACAAAUUUAUGAAACUUUUUAAAGCAGUUGCAUCAGUGAUCAUCCAAGGACAGUGUUUUUCCCCAAAGAACAAUGAUGGAAGUACAAUAUUUCUUAGUACUUGUGUUGGUUCAACUUUAUGCCAAUUAAAGCUAAUUUCUUGCUCAAAAUCUGAUAAUAGCCUUUAAUAUGGUAAAGAACGGAAGAUUGGUGAUUACUGAUUACUCAAGCAUGAGACCCUUUAAACUGACAAUGCUAGUUUCUUUUGAUACCUUAGGUUAUAAGUAUCAUUUGUUUCUUCAACACUUCAUGAAAUCAUUGUAACCAGUAUUAGCAACUCUACUAAGAGUAUAAAUCUCUUCUAAUUUCUGUUUUGUAGACAAGACUACGAAUAUGCAAUCUUAGAUAAAUACUACUACUUUUUUUAUUAAAAAAAAAAGAAUUCUUCAAAAAGUAGUCAUUUAUACUUCUUCAAAUAAUCCUAAAUGUUCGCCAAAAACUUCUUGAAACCAUAAAACAAGUAGAAAACCACAGAUAUCAUACAUACAUACAUAUAUAUAAAUAUAUAUAUAUAUAUAUGUG
Molecule: long non-coding RNA, 85378 nt
Filed under: Panax ginseng (ginseng)
Lineage: Eukaryota; Viridiplantae; Streptophyta; Magnoliopsida; Apiales; Araliaceae
Description: long non-coding RNA (PGIN_LNC003200)
Source: RNAcentral